Molecule: long non-coding RNA, 58518 nt
Filed under: Populus trichocarpa (black cottonwood)
Lineage: Eukaryota; Viridiplantae; Streptophyta; Magnoliopsida; Malpighiales; Salicaceae
Description: long non-coding RNA (PTRI_LNC002643)
Source: RNAcentral
UGAGGAGGAAGAAGAGGAUAAAUGGCUAAUUCAGAAUGAGUUUGUAGAUAACUUUUCAUUCAAAAUAUCCUCACCUCCUGCGCACCGGAUAUGGGGCUAUACUCUGUUCACAAGGUUUUGUAUGACGUCAGAGUACACUCUCUUAGAUCCUUUUUAUAUUAUAAUCAGAAACAAUACCAGUGGUCGAUACUUGCGUUGUCAAGCCUAUCUCCUCCCUGUGAGUUACAAGCGUGGUGUUCGUGAAAUCCAAUCGUUUAUGCACAGGAAAUUAGGGGGCGAUGAUCCUACAUUUGAUAAUGGUGAUGAAGUGAGUAUUUCAGUGUGUCGAAAAAAACCAGCUAUCCAAAUAAGGACGAUUGGAGUACAAUGGUUGCAUGAUCAAGAGGAAGGAAAGGAUGAUGAUGAUGAUGAUGAUGCAGCACACGUAGCCAAAGUAGAAAUAGCUUCUCGUAUUUUUAGAAAUUAUUAUUGUGGUUUCUAUUGUAAAUCCAAUGAUGGCAAUAUCCAUUGUGGUAUAAAAUUUUAAAAUUAAUUUUAAUUGAAAAUUAUCAAAUUAAAAGAUAGAAUUAAAAUUCAAUAACAAAAGCGGAAAGCUUUUGAAAAGCUUAUCAGGAAAAUAGUUUUGUAUCUCUAGUAAUCUUCCUUCUUUCUUUGUAUAGCAUGAGAUCUUUUAUUAAUAAAUAUUUGUAAUGCCUUUCACUUUUUUUUCCCGCUUUAAUAUAUUAUUAUUUUAUUAAUUAAUUUUUAUUUAUAAAAUCUUGUAUUUAUAAUAAAAUAUAUUAAAUAUUUUAUUUUACUUGUCAACCUUUUAUUGAUCAAAAUAUAUGUAAAGAUCCAUUUUAUUUUCAUGUUAUUUUAUCUGUUUUAUUUUAUCUUUAUAUAUAAAAAUAAUACAUGGUAAAAUUUAAUUGUUAAUUUUUUUUUGUUUCUAUAUAGUGAAAUUUGAUUGGUAAUUUAUUUUUCAACAUAUACCAUUUCCAGAUAAGUUCACUUGUAAUAAAAAAUAAGUAGAUAUGUUUUAAAAAUAUGAUUAAGAGGGUUUUAUAAUUUAAAUAUAUUUUAUUUUAAUUAAAAAUUACUUUAAUUAUAUUAAAUUUUCAUAUUAAAUUAACAUAGAUUUUUUAGUGCAUGCACCGGUAAAGAUGCAAUUGAAUUAGUCUUUCAUAAACCAGCACUGUACUGUCACCCAUGACCUUAAACAUUAAAACCCUUUUUUUAUCAACAUUAUGAGGAUCUUGGAAUGUGUUUUCAUUUCCCUGGUUUUUGACAGCAACAGUUGUUUUAGGAGACGUGAAAGCCACAAAGUUCUAACCACUUGGACUUUUUAAUGGUUGGCUGUUGGAGCUAUAUCAUGGCAUGCUCUGUUGAUUUGCCCAACCCAUUCUCUUGAUGCAAGAUCAAGUGCUGAAAGCAGGUUUAAAUCUUCAAGAAAUUGCUGAGUAUGUCUGAGGAGAAAUAGACUGCUAACCAUUUUCCAAGAGGCAACCCAUUUGCUGUUUUCUCUUAAACAACUAAAAAACGUUCGAGUUCUCUUCCAAUUUUCCGAUGAGCCAAGUCAACGGAAAACCUCACAUACUCUUUUGACAACAGAAUCCUAUUACUAUCACACCAUGGAACCUCCAUUCUUAUAGAACCCCCACUCAAUAAACCUCUUGCCAUCAGCACUUGUAAUCCCUGAUUCCCUAAACCCACACUUUAUAGCCAAAGACACAAAACAUUGUGCAGCUUCAAUGUCCCUCCACUCCACAGCAAUACUCAAUGGCUCAAAACGGAACACCAGUCGGUAGCCGACCCAGUAGCUGAUUCAGAGUCAUGAUCCUCCACGUGCCUUUUUCUUAUUGGUGGGUGGUGUUGAUGCUGGUUUUGGAUGCGAGAGGAUGGAGAUCCGGCCAGAGCAGGCGCACAGCGAGGGUGGAUGAGUUGGAUUAUGCGGGUGUCUAAUGUCCCUUUUGGUAACUAUGCCUGAGAUUCCUAUAUUUUCAUAACCUAAUUUUUAACCUUUUUAUUUUAAUUAUUUUAUUUUUAAAAAAAUUAAUAAAAAACAAGUAAAAAUAAAAUAAUUAAAAUUUAAAUUAAGUACAACAUAAUUAAAAAUUUAAAGAUUUAAUUAAACACUUGACUAGUUUAAUUAAUUAAAUUAAUGGCUUAAUUGAAGAAUUGAUUCAAUUAAAAUUUAGAUUAUUUUAAUCAAAAGUUUAAUUGAAAAAUUAAUGAGUUUGAGGACUUAAUUAAACUUUGAUUUAAUUAAUUAAAUAAAUUCAGGGACUUAAUUGAAAUUAAUCCAAGGGUAAAAUUAAAAGAUUGUUGGGAUCAAAUUGUUAAAUUUCCAGAGGCAGGGGUCAAAUUGAAAAUUCCCAUUUUCUGCCAAAACGGCACCGUUGCUAAGGAACAGCCGUGCGUCUUCUCCAUCCCGAUUCAACAGGGGAGCUCCCGAUUCAGCAGGGGAGCUGAUAAUCUGCAACAAAUCCGAUCAUGGACCACGUCUCUUGCCCACUAUCUCGUUCGUGGAUUCCAUAACAGUCCUGCAAAGGCAGGACUGGUGGAAGGGCAAGCUUCUCUAUAAAAGGGAGAAGAAAACCCAGAAUUAAGGAGAGGAAAAAAAGAUGAACCGAAAAAUGAACCCAAAAACAGAGAAAAAAAGCAGAGAAAACAGAGCAAAAAAAACCCAGAGCAAAGAAAUAAUACACAGAGAGAAGGAGAGGAAAGAAAUCCAGCAUACAUAGAGAGUUUUCAUCGCCAUUGCCUUCAUCUCUGCAGACAAUCUGCACACAAAAAAAUCAACCCAAAAACAGAGAAAAAAAAAGGCAGAAAACGCAAGCAAAAAUCCAGAGCUAAAACAAACAGAGCAGAAAUACAGAGUGAAAAAACACAAAUUCACAGAGAGAAAGAAAAAGGGAGGGGCAGCACCGAGAAGAAUCAGCUCUGCCAUUGCCUUCGUCCCUGCAGACAAAGAAAGACCCAGAAUCAGUCAAAACAAAAUUCACAGAAAGCAGGGACAGGCAGGAAGAAACCAAUCAGAGAAAAGCAAGAACAAAAGAGAAGGGAAGAGAAAGGAGCUUAGCCGACGAAUCUUUCAUCACGUCUUCAUCUUCAGGAGCAGCAGCCCACAGGUAAGUUUCUCUUCAUCUCCUCUCGCUUUUCAGUUUUAAUUCAUGCCAUACUGUUCAUGUGAAUUUUAAUUCACUGAAUACUUAGACACGCGUGAACCAGCUCACGCGUGUUAUUUGCCCAGCCGGGCUCAGCCCAGCCCAUGUGGGCUGAGCUGGGCCCCGCCCAAAAAUAAAAAAAUAAAAAGAUAAAAAGAUAAACAAAAUUUAAAAAAUAUAUAAUAAAAAUUGUGUAUGUAAAAAAAAUAUAUAAAAAUGUAUUUAUUGUUUUUUUAUUUAUUCAUUGACGACGUAAUAAUAAAAAUACCAAUUCAAAUUUAUUUUAUUGUAUUUUAUUUGGUUAUAUAAAAAAUGUGUGUGCAAAAAAAAAAACUUAAGACAAAAUAAAAUAAAAUUAUUUGGUAUAUUCACUGACGCCAGAGUCAGGAAUAAAAAAUACUAAUGUAAAUUUAUUUUAUUUUAUUUUAUUUUGCUUUUAUUUAGCUACAUAAAAAAUAAAAAUAAUACAUAUGUGUAAAAAAUAAAUUGAUUUUUAUUUAUUUAUUCACUGACGCCAGAGUCAGGAAUAUAAAAAAUAAUGAUUUAAAUUUAUUUAUUCUGAUACCUACGUAAUAUUUACCAGCGCCAGAGUUGGAAAUAUCCGUAGUUGAAUAUUCACUGGCGCCAGAGUCAUGAAUAUUACACGCAAACAAUCAUAGUAUAAAACAACAAAAAUGUUAGCAAUUAAUGACAAAUAUUAACAAUGCAGCCUGCCUUAGGCAGGAUGUUUAAGGGGUGAUAAUAUCUUUCCUUUUACGUAAUCAGUCUCGGACUAUAGAAUUUCUGUUGACUAGUUAGGGUUCCUAGUAACCGUAAUACUAGGUGGCGACUUCUUAAACAAGACCGUUCCCCAUCAAAGAACAGAAUGCCAGAAUUCCGUUUUUUCUAAAAUUUAUUUAGUUUUUUAAGGUCGCCGCGAUGUCGGGUGUGAUAUAUAUAAUAAAAUAUUUUAUUUAUAGUAUUGUGCCACAUAGACUUGAAGGGUUGCCUUAAAAGUUUGGAGCAGAACCACUUAUUAGAUUACUGAUCCAGAACAGCAGCCACAACUGAAUAGAGAAGGGAAAGGGAAACUUGCAGGUACUCUCUCUUUCUUAUCUCCUGUUUACUUUGGUUCCAGCUGCUGUCUUGUUUUCUUUGUUGAUGAUCACUUAGAUUAAACCACUGUUAGUGACUACUUGUUCAUCAUCUCAUCUUAUCAUGCCACUCAAAAAAUUAUAAACUAACAAAUUCACCUCCGUGGGCUUUGUAAGGAUUACAAGAUGUGUGCUUUGUAAAUAAUUAAGGCUUACAUAGCCAGAUGGGGAUCCUUAAUGACUUUCUUUUCCUGCUCCAUCCGUGCUUCUAAAUGCGUGGUAGCAAGUGCGGUUAAAUAUGUACAGAUAUUUCUCUGAAAGGGCUUGGGGGAGUUGAUUGCUGGGAAAUAACUUAAAAAAUGUUUUCAAGAAAAAGUUAGAUAACCAUAUAUAAAUACUUCAGCUAAUUGCUGUGCUAUCGAUCUUGAAUUAUCGACAUUCAUCAUGCAACUUCUUUUUUUUUUUUGCUAGUCUCGAAAUGGCUUCUGGGAAAUAUCAAGAAUACUCAUUUUAACUGUUCUCUAAUUGUAAAUAUCAAGUGUUCUUGACUUUUAGAGGUGAAGACACCCGCAAGAACUUUACCGAUCACCUCUACACAGCCCUGGUUCAAGCAGGGAUUCACACAUUUAGAGACGAUGAUGAAAUUGGGAGAGGAGAAAAUAUCAAGUCAGAGCUCCAACAGGCAAUACAACAAUAAAAAAAUAUCGAUAAUCGUGUUCUCCAAAGCGUAUGAUUCGUCGCGGUGGUGCCUGAAUGAACUUGUAAUGAUCAUGGAACGUAAGAGCAAUACUGACUGCAUAAUUUUGCCGGUCUUCUAUGACGUGGAUCCGUCUGAAGUCAGAAAUCAAACAGGGAGCUUUGCUGCAGCAUUUAUGGAUCAUGAAAAGCGCUUCAAGAAGGAGAUGGAGCAAGUGAAUGGGUGGAGGAUUGCUUUGUAGGAAGUUGCAGAUUUAGGAGGAAUGGUUUUAGGAGAUGGGUAAGUUGUAUUUCUUGAUGAAACUACACAUAACAUAAUAAUAGAAUGCUGGUUCUGAACUCUUAAUUUUUUCAGGUUUGUAGUUAAGCAUUGAGACGAUAACUGAUAAUACCACUACAAUUUAGUGAAACUGUGACACUCCCAACUCAGAGAACAUACUAGGAAAAUAAAAAUAAAAGAUACUUUUUACUCUUUUUUUUUUCCUUGACUACCUGAAAAGGCAAAGAUUUCUACAUUAUUCCAUUUUUUGGUUUUAAUAUGUGGUGAUAACAUAGCUACAAAAAUAGCAAUCAAUCAUUGACGCGCAGCCUGGUUUAAUUUCUUUUUUCCAGGAUACUAAGAUUUUUAAACUUUACGGAGAGACUACUAAUUAUCAUACAUUGCAUUUUUCUUUCUGAUGCAGGUAUGAGGCACAGCUUGUCCAAUCAUCUGGUAAAAUAUUAAAGAAACUGGAUCGUUAAAUAUUUCAUGUCCCCCUUCAUUUCAUUGGAAGAGAUCAUCUGGUAAAAUAUAUCAACUCAUGGUUGCAAGAUGGCACUCAUGGUGCUGCUAUUGCUAUACUCUAUGGGAUUGGUGGAGUUGGGAAGACAGCCAUAGCAAAGACUGUUUAUAACCAGAACUUUCAUAAAUUUAAAGGCAGGAGCCUACAGAGGCAACUUCUUUCUGAUAUCCUAAACAAGACUGCUGAUGAGACACAUGAUGUCGAUGAAGGGAUUAUAAAGAUUAAGGAUGCAUUGUGUUGCAGAAGAACUCUUAUUGUUCUCGAUGACGUGGACAAAUGGUACCAGUUCAAUGCAAUUGUUGGCAUGCAAAAUUGGCUUUUCCAAGGAAGUAAAAUCAUUGUAACAACUAGAAAUAAGGCUUCGAUUGUAGCUGAUGGUGAAUGUGUCAAGUGCAAAGUUGAACCUCUAGAUAACAAAAAAUCACUUGAGCUUUUCAGUUGGCAUGCCUUAGGACAAGCUUGCCCGGUUGAAGAUUUUUUAGACUCUUGGGGAAUAGUACGUCAUUGUAAUGGACUUCCAUUGGCCCUACGUGUUAUUGGUUCCUCAUUGUCCAGAAAAAGUAGUGAAGUAUGGGAAAGUGCAUUGCAUGAAAUGGAGGUGAUUCUGAAUAUUCAAGUUCUUGCAACAAGUUACGACUCUCUUGUUGAUGAUUAUCAGAAGAACUUAUUCCUUGAUAUUGCUUGUUUCUUCAAUGGAACGGAUUACAAUUAUGCAGUUAGGAUACUAGAUGGACUUAGUAUAGGUGCAAGAUUUAGGAUUGAAAAUCUCAUCGAUAGAUGUCUGGUAGAAAUUGUUAAAAUAAAAAAUGAUAAAAAGUUAUGGAUGCAUCAACUCGUAAGAGAUAUGAGAUAUGGAAAGGGAAAUUGCUCGUCAAGAAUCACCCAAAUGUCAAAGAAUAUGGCAUCACAUGGAAGCCUUUACAGUAUUGAAAGAAACAAGUGUAAGUAUCUAGUUUUGUUUACAUAUCUACUGUGUAUUUAAGCAUCUUAAAAAGUUCAUGCUUUUACUUUCUUUUCUCAUAUACUUUUAAUAUUUUGGAAGCAUGAUUCUGAAAAAUUGCCAUAGAGUCAGAAAUGUCGAAUUCUUUGUUUCUUGCUCCAUUAUUAUUCCAGCACAUCCUCCAUGUUUGUUUGCACAGCCUGCAUAUGCUGCAGAACGAUCUUCGUUUGCCAAUUGUAUCCAAUGCUCCUGCAACUUCUUAUGUUCCUCUUUCACAAAUUCUUUAUAUGGUUGUACAUGCAAAUUAUCAAGGUCGCCUAACGCACAGUUAAGAGGUUUAGAUUGUUUUUUUUUUUUUUACCGGGAUUGCUUCAGGCUCUUAACAAGUUGGUGCUGCUUCUUGCUUAUUUUUAAGUACGACAUCAAUUUUUUAAGUAUGUCACAAUCAACAUGGUCAAACUCUAGCUUUUAAAAAAUAUAUAUAUAUUUAUAUAUAUAUAUAUAUUAAUUUUCAUGGAUAAAAUCGAGUUUAAUAACUUUUCUUUUCAUGAGAUGAAAUUAAGUUCAUUUAGACUAUUUGCAUCAAUUUUAAGAAAUUAAGAAAAAUCAUAGCGUGAUUGAGGUUAAGUUAUAGUUUUAAUGAUAAAAUUAUUCCAAUACUAUAGUUUUCAUUUACCGAUAUUAAUUCUUUCUUCAAUCCGAUCUUCAACAAACCAUUUAUAUACAUAUAUAGAUUGAUGUAUAUCAUGAAAGUUUAUUUACAAGAUCAAUUUUUGAAAGUUUCUUUCAUGAAAGUUUUGAAUUAUUCCAAUACUAUAGCUCAUGAAGUGGAAGACUAUCUUGUUCUCCCUUUUUAAUUACUUGCUUGUCCUUGAAUUAUCUGUCGGUGAUUCCUCGACAAAGAUGGGUUACCUUUGAUGCUCAUGAUCGCUCUGCUUGUUGACACACAUUUGUAAUAUCUCUUCUAGACAUGCUGAAUACAGCAAGAGCAAACAUGAGUGCUGAGGAAAAGGAAAGAACAAAUGAAGACGAACUUAACAUAAUGAUCUCCUCGUAUGGGCCAAAAUCAGUUCAAAUUAAAGAGACAGUACUACUGAGAGGACAAUGGUGCUCAUGGUAAGAGAAGCCAAAAUCACCCAACUGAUUAACAAAUCAAGACGGUCAUGAAAUAAUUUGCAUUAUUUCUCUGUUACUGUCUCCUGGUGGCAUGAUGCAGUCCCCUUAAAAAACUUUUUUUAUUGGCUUAGCCAUACAAUUUACAUGUUUUUAGCGAUUCACAUGACAUUAACAAAUGCUACAAGUUUUGGAUAAGAAUCUACAACAUGCUAAAACAUCCUUGUUAAUGAUCCUUUACUUCGACAUCAUCUAGGACUCCUCGAACAAUGAGAUAGUAAAUCCUUAACUCUUUCCCCUCAUUUUGUUUGGUGCUUGGCAUACUGGGUAGUGGGUAGCUAUUUCCUGGUGAUUCCUCCGAACAGGUAGGUAAAAAGUAAUCAUUGAAUCAAACAGACUAAGAACACAUAUAAAACGAGUUAGAAAACAAUCCAAUUGGCUCAGGCAAUGAUCAACAUGAUACAGAGAACUUUCAACUGAUGUACCUGGUUGCAGCAGGAUCAUGGUCUUGUUUUCUACUUGUGUCUGCAAUGACUACGACUUUCUUAUCCAGUUCAAAUCCAUCAUUCUGAAUAAUGAGAAAGCCUAUUUUAUCAAGGACACCACACAUUCAGUAAAUAUAUACCACCCAUAAAAGCUCAUGCCAGUUAGCUCACGAAUAUGCAACAAAUAUGUCUUUUCAGUAUUGACUCAUACAGAAAUAAAUUCUGAGUGAUUUUUUUUCCACCAUUGGUAAUCAAUCAAAUCUAUAAUCUAUGCAACUUUCCUCAUCCAGAAGCGAGUAAUCUUAUACAUGUUCUGUAACUCAUCGUAUAGUUAAUUGACUGAUCUGUGGCUCUAGAACAAGAUUUGCACCAAGUCUCAACUUUCUCACUAAGUCUCAACCAUACUCAUAUCCAUUAGAAUGAUUUUGAAGCUAUUGGGUUUAUACCAAGCCUACAAGAUUUAUACUUCAUAAAAUUUGCGUAUUUCACAAUAUAUAAAAGUUUGGGCACAUCAACUUUUUAGUAUCUUAGACCAAGAGAUUUCAUUAUGAAUUUUGUAAUAUAUAAAUUUUCUUUCAGUCUAUUCCCUUUCAGUAACAUGCUUUUGAAGCUAUUGGGUUUAUACCUAGCCUACAAGAUUUAUACUUAAUAAAAUUUGCGUAUUUCUCUCUAUACAGCUAUCUCUCUAUACAGCUAUCUCUCUUAUUUUCAAUGGACAACAACUGAUUUCAAGUGGUUUCACAGUCUCUUCCAAAAUUUAAAAUUCUUGAUCCCCGUUGCUCAUUUUAUAAGUUCUGAUUUAUUUCAACUCUACAUUUUUGUUCUUGUAUAUCUAGAAACUUUUCCCUUUGCUCAUUUUAUAAAUUCUGCUUUGAUGGAACAGAUACAACUUUAGGGCAACAGAUUCAAUGUUGUCCUUGAAUGUGAUGAAAAUGAGAUAUUAAGGUGGUUUCACGAGGAGGAAGAACAGGAGUAGCUACUUUAGAAAGAGAAUGUAGAGUACUUGUCAUUCAAACUUAAUUCUUACUUCAGGAUGUCACUAGCCAUCAACUUGUGGAAUUUGUUUUCUAACUUCUUUCUUACUUCACCAUGUCAAUAUAGCCAUCAAUUCCUGGCACCAAAAUUUUCCAUGCAUAACUGGUCAAGCCUAGACAUUCCGACUUUCUGCUUCCGAUAUUAGCCAUGGAAAAUUCCUAACGCGGAAACGUUCCAUACCAUAGAGAGAGUGGACUUGUAGGGAUGACUUGUCUUAAAAUUACAAUCCACCCUUUCUCUCUCAAUUUUAAUAUAUACCUGUUGGAAUAUACAGGAGAUAUUUUAGAAAAAGGCAAUUAGACGUAAUAGAAAACUAGGAGAAAUUAAUGGCAAACAGAUAUAAAAAAUAAAUGGCAUAAUUUUUCUAUCUUAUUGGUGGAAUAUUUUUUGUAGGUAUUUUCAUAGCUAUUUGCUAGUUUUAUAGUAGUGAAACGACUAAAAAAGAAAAGUUGUAUUAGUCCUAAAUGUUAGGAAUAAUUAGUUUCUACUUGAAAGACAUUUGAUACAAUACGUUUUAAAAGACAAUAAUUUUUUUAAAAUUAAUUUACCUGUUGGAAUAUACAGGAGAUAUUUUAGAAAAAGGCAAUUAGACGUAAUAGAAAACUAGGAGAAAUUAAUGGCAAACAGAUAUAAAAUUUAGGGAUUUAAUAUUAUGUUAUUAAAAUAAAGGGAUUAACUAAAUAAUAAUUUACUUCACAAAAAAAUUGUUAAAGGAAUACAGUAAUACCAACCACGAAGCAAAAGAUUUGAGAAAAGAGAGAGAAACAUAAAUGAUGUUAAUUAGAUUUUUCUAAUUAGAUUCUUACUUCAGGAAAAUUAGAUUUUUACUUCAGGAAAAUCAACUUCUCCUCUUAAUUAGAUUUUUCUAACUUGAUUCUUACUUCAGGAAAAUUCAGUGUGCCAUGGAAAAUUCAGUCCGACUUUCUUACUUCAGGAUGUCAAUAGUGGCCAUCAAUUCCCAUCAACUUGUGGAGUUUAUUUUCUAACUUUUUUCUUACGAUGUCAAUAGCCGUCAACUCGGAAUUAGUGAUUAUAUUCAACAUCCAAGUCUUGAUCAGAAUAAAACCAAAAAAGUCCUCACGCGGAAACAUUCCAUACCAUAGAGAGAGUGGACUUGUGGGGAUGACUUGUCUUAAAAUUACAAUCCACCUUUUCUCUCUCAAUUUUGAGCAAAUUAAAAAAAAAAAAAGGUCCUAACGCGGAUAUGGUCCGUACCACAGAGACUUUUAAGGUUGAUUUAAAAGCAGAAAAUUGAUGAACUGAUAAGAGAACAUCAGCGAAGGGAAAGUGAAGAUUUCAGGUACUCUCUCUCUCUUAUCUCUUUUAGUAUUAUGUUAUAUUGUGGAAUGUAACUCUGCUGUAACUGAGAAUCACUUAAAUUAAUUCACUAUUAGAAACUAAUUAUUGAUGAUCUCAUCAACCGAUUUUGUUGGUUCAGCAUAGAGAUUAAUUUAUCAUGUGUACAGAUAUUUUUCUGAAAGGGCAUGGAGGAUUUGAUUGAUGGGAAAUAACUUGAAAAUUGUUUUAAAGAUAAAGUAAGAUAAUAAUAUAUGAACACUUCAGCUUAUUGGUGUGCUGUCGAUCUUGAACUAUCGACAUUAAUCUCUGCUAGACUCGUUUUAUUUUGUUCAGAUUUUUGAAAAGUCUUAUCUUUGCUAGACUCGAAAUGGCUGCUGGGAAAUAUCAAGAAUCCUACUCUUCACGGUUUUCUAAUUGUAAAUAUCAAGUGUUCUUGAGUUUUAGAGGUGAAGACACCCGCAAGAACUUUACCGACCACCUCUACAAGGCCCUGAUUCAUGCAGGGUUUCACACAUUUAGAGAUGAUGAUGAAAUUCGGAGAGGAAAGAAUAUAAGGCUGGAGCUCCAGAAGGCAAUAAAACAAUCAAAAAUAGCGAUAAUCGUGUUCUCCAAAAACUAUGCUUGGUCGAAAUGGUGCCUCGAUGAACUCGUAAAGAUCAUGGAACGUAAGAGGAAUGCUGAAUGCAUAGUUUUCCCAGUAUUCUAUCAUGUGGAUCCAUCUGAAGUCAGAAAUCAAACUGGGAGCUUUGCUGCAGCAUUUGUGGAACAUGAAAAGCACUACAAGGAGAAGAUGGAGCGGGUGAAUGGGUGGAGGAUUGCUUUGAAGGAAGUUGCAAAUUUAGCUGGAAUGGAUUUAGGAGAUGGGUAAGUUAUAUCUCUUGAUGAAACUAUACAUAGCAUAAGACUAGAAUGCUGGCCGUGAACUUUUAAUUAAUUUCUUUCAGUUAAGUGUACUGAUAAGAAAACAUACAAGAAAAAUAAAAUAAAAUACUUAUGAUUUCUUCUUCUUCUUCUUCUUCUUCUUCUUUUCCGAUCAUGAUUUGGUUUUAAUAGGUGGUGAUAACGCACCUACAAAUUUAACUAUCAUUCAUGGACACGCAACUGUUGUUUAUUUCUAUCCUUUAUAGAGAGGCUACUGAUUAUCCCACCUUGUAUUUUACUUUUUGAUGCAGGUACGAGGCACAGUUUGUCCAAUCUAUUGUGGAGAAUGUCUUAAAGAAUUUGGAUCCAAAAAUAUUUUAUGUCCCCCUUCAUUUCAUCGGAAGAGAUGCUUUAGUACAAGAUAUCAACUCAUGGUUGCAAGAUGGAUCCCAUGGUGCUGCCAUUGCUUUACUCUAUGGAAUAGGUGGAGUUGGAAAGACAGCCAUAGCUAAGAGUGUUUUUAACCAGAACUAUUAUAAAUUUGAAGGAAAGAGCUUUCUCUCAAAUUUUAGGUCAAAGGAUAUAGUUUGCCUACAGAGGCAACUUCUUUUCGACAUCCUAAACAAGACUGUUGAGAUAAAUGAUCCUGAUGAAGGAAUUCUGAAGAUUAAGGGUGCAUUAUGUUGCAGAAGAACUCUUAUUGUUCUAGAUGAUGUGGACAAAAGGGACCAAUUCAAUAAAAUCAUUGUCAUGCAAAAUUGGCUUUGUAAAGGAAGUAAAAUCAUUGUAACAACCAGAAAUAAGGGUUUGUUUUCAGCUAAUGAUAUUCAGUGGAUCCGGUACAAAGUUGAACUGCUAGAUGAUGAAAAAUCACUUGAGCUUUUCAGUUGGAAUGCCUUUGGACAAGCUAACCCUGUUGAUGGUUUUGUGGAAGACUCUUGGAGAAUAGUAUAUCAUUGUAAUGGACUUCCAUUAGCUCUUCGAGUUAUUGGCUCUUCAUUGUCCGGAAAAGGAAGAGAAAUAUGGGAAAGCGCAUUACAACAAAUGGAAGUGAUUCUUAAUUUUGAAGUUCAAAAGGUUCUUCGAAUAAGUUACGACUUUCUUGAUGGUGAUUAUCCGAAGAACUUAUUCCUUGAUAUCGCAUGUUUCUUCAAUGGAAUGGAUGUGGAUGAUGCAGUUAGGAUACUGGAUGGGCUCGAUAAAGGUGCAAGAUUUGGGAUUGACAAUCUCAUCGAUAGAUGUCUUGUUGAAAUCAACAGUGAUCAAAGGUUGUGGAUGCAUCAACUAGUAAGAGAUAUGGGUAGGGAAGUUGCUCGUCAAGAAUCACCCAAAUGUCAAAGAAUAUGGCAUCAUGAGGAUGCUUUUACAGUUUUGAAAGGAACUACUGUAAGUAGCUCAAUUUUUUUAAAUGUCUACUUAAAUGGUUUGUGGUGCCUUGACAUAUUCAUUCAUCUACUUUCCUUUCUCAUGUACUUUUAAUAUUGUUAUGCAGGAUGCUGAAAAAUUGCGUGGCCUUACCAUUGAUAUGCAUGCAUUAAUGGAAUAUCGUUAUGCAGAAGUUGUCUGUACUGAUUCAAUGGUUUGUCGCAAGCGCCGCAGGCUUAACUUCUUUCAACAAUGGCUUUCCGAUUUUUUCGAUGGGGGAAAAUUACAAACUGGCCAAACAAGUUUGUUUCCCAUCCUCAGCACGGAUGCUUUUAGAAAGAUGCCAGAUGUAAAAUUUCUUCAACUAAACUACACUAAUUUUCAUGGAAGUUUUGAGCACUUUCCCAAGAAUUUGAUAUGGUUAUGUUGGCAUGGAUUGUCUUGGAGCUCCAUACCAAAUCACGUAUGCUUGGAGAAGCUGGUGGUUCUUGAUCUAUCCAGAAGUUGUCUAGUUGAUGCUUGGAAGGGCAAACCGGUAUGUAUCAAGUCUCUCUAUAGCUAUCUCUCUCGUUUUCAAUUGAUAACAACUAAAUUCAUGUAUUUUCACAGUUUCUUCCAAAAUUGAAAAUUCUUGAUCUCCGUCACUCUCGUGAUCUCAUUAGAACCCCAGACUUCUCGGGUCUCCCAGCCCUUGAAAAACUAAUACUUGAAGACUGCAUCCGUUUGGUUCAAUUUCACGAAUCUAUUGGUGAUUUACAAAGAUUGUUGAUCUUAAAUCUAAGAAAUUGUACAAGUCUUAUGGAGCUUCCAGAAGAAAUGAGUAGAUUGAAUUCACUUCAAGAGCUGGUUUUAAAUGGUUGUUCAAAUCUUAAUAACCUGAAUAUGGAGUUAGAGCAUCAUCAAGGGCGCAAGUUGCUUCAAAGUGAUGGAAUUGUUGCAAGUACAUCAUUCAUUUCAUCUCUUCCAUUGAAGCUAUUCUUUCCCUUUAGGUUUUCAACGAGGAAAAUGUUGAGAUUUACCUUGUUUUCACUGCCACGCUUCUUGGAGAGUCUAGAUUUAAGUGGAACUCCAAUUUGUUUUCUUCCAGAAAGCAUCAAGGAUCUUGGUCUACUCAGAGCCCUAUAUUUAAGAAAUUGCAAAAUGCUUCAGGCACUCCCAGAGCUUCCAUUCCUUUUGGAUUUGUUAGAUGUGUCCUUUUGCUAUUCACUGCAAGGACUUGCAAAUCCAAAGAGUUGGACUGAAGGAGAUGGUUGUGAUCACUUAGUCGAGUUCCAAGAUCGGAUAAAGCAAGAAUUAAUUCAAAAGGUAGACUCUCAAAUGUUCAGAAUAAUGGAAACGGUUAGUGCUCAAAUACAGCCAUCGAGAUUUCAGGUCCUCCUUCACCCAUUUUAUUGUUUUGGAAAUCUACAUUUUAAUACUUUUCUUUUACUCAUUUUAUAAACUUUGUUUUGGUGGUACAGAUAACAUUUAUGGAUGGCAUAUUCAACGUUGUCGUCUAUGCAUUUGAAGAUGAGAUGUUCUCCAAUUUGUUUUGUGCAGAGGGAGAAGAGGAUAAAUGGCUAAUUCAGAAUGAGUUUGUAGAUAACUUUUCAUUCAAAAUAUCCUCACCUCCUGCGCACCGGAUAUGUGGCUUUAAUUUAUUCACAGGGCUUGGUGUGACGUCAGCAUACCGUGGCUUUAGUAAUGUUUAUAUUGAAAUCAGAAACAAUACGAGUGGUCAAUCCUUGCUUUGUCAAUUCUUUGUCUUCCCUAUGAGGUACGCGCGUGGUGUUCGGGAAGUCCAAUCGUUAUUGCACACGAAAUUAGGGGGCAAUGAUCCUGCAUUUGAUAAUGGUGAUGACGUGAGUAUUUCAGUGCGUCCACGUGGUCCAGCUAUCCAAAUAAGGACCGUUGGUGUACAAUGGUUGCAUGAAGAGGAAGGAAAGGAUGAAGAUAUCAAUGCCCACAACAGUAGCGAUGAUGAUGAUGCAGCACACGUAGCCGAAGUAGAAAUAGCUUCUCAUAUAGUUAGAAAUUAUAAUUGUGCUUUCCAUGGUAAACGCAGGGCUCGCAAUUUCACUUUUUGGAAUUUUGCAAAGAAGGGUCUACAACUUGAAUUAUUUUAGGUUUCAUUAAGUAGAGGUUUGCUUUUUUAGAUUUCAACCGUAAAAUCAAAAAAGCUGGAAAGCUUUUGAAAUAGUUUUUUCUUUUUUCUUGAAAAGCUUAUCAUGAAAAUAGCAUGAGAUCUUUUAUUUAUAAAUAUUUAUAAGGGCCUUCAUAUUCAAAAAUGUAAUAUGAUAUUAUUUUAUUAAUUUUUAUUUAUAAUAAGACAUAUUAAAUAUAAGUUAACCUUCCAAUUUUCAUGUUAUUUUAUCUAUUUUAUUUCAUUUUUUUAUAUAAAAAAUAAAAUAAAAAUAACACAUGAUAAAAUUUAAUUGGUAAUUUUUUAUCUGACGAGCCCAUUUGCUGUUUUCUCUUAAACAACUAAAAAACGCUCGAGUUCUCUUCCAAUUUUCUGACGAGCCAAGUCAACGGGAAACCUCACACACUCUUUUGACAACAGAAUCCCAUUACUAUCACUCCAUGGAACCUCCAUUCUUAUAAAACAUGAGUGCCGAGGAAAAGGAAAGAACAAAUGAAGACGCGACUUAACAUAAUGAUCUCCUCGUAUGGGCCAAAAUCAGUUCAAAUUAAAGAGACAGUCCUACUGAGAGGACAAUGGUGCUCAUGGUAAGAGAAGCCAAAAUCACCCAACUGAUUAACAAAUCAAGACGGUCAUGAAAUAAUUUGCAUUAUUUCUCUGUUACUGUCUCCUGGUGGCAUGAUGCAGUCCCCUUAAAAAACUUUCUUUAUUGGCUUAGCCAUACAAUUUACAUGUUUUUAGCGAUUCACAUGACAUUAACAAAUGAUACAAGUUUUGGAUAAGAAUCUACAACACGCUAAAACAUCCUUAUUGACGAUCCUUUAUUCCGACAUCAUCUAGGAUUCCUCGAACAAUGAGAUAGUAAAUCGUUAACUCUUUCCCCUCAUUUUGUUAGGUGCUUAGCAUACUGGGUAGCUAUUUCCUGGUGAUUCCUCCGAUCAGGUAGGCAAAAAGUAAUCAUUGAAUUAAUCAAACAGACUAAGAACACAUAUAAAACGAGUUAGAAAACAAUCCAAUAGGCUCAGGCAAUGAUCAACAUGAUACAGAGAACUUUCAACUGAUAUACCUGGUUGCAGCAGGAUCAUGGUCUUGUUUUCUACUUGUGUCUGCAAUGACUACCACUUUCUUAUCCAGUUCAUAUCCAUCAUUCUGAAUAAUGAGAAAGCCCAUUUUAUCAGGACACCAAACAUUCGGUAAAUACCACCCAUAAAAGCUCAUGCCAGUUAGCUCACGAAUAUGCAACAAGGAUGUCUUUUCAGUAUUGAUUCAUGCAGAAAUAAAUUCUGAGUGAUUUUUUUUCCACCGUUGGUAAUCAAUCAAAUCUAUAUUCUAUGAAACUUUCCUCAUCCAGAAGCGAGUAAUCUUAUACAUGUUCUGUAAACUCAUCGUACAGUUGAUUGACUGAUCUUUGUAGCUCUAGAACAAGAUUUGCACCAAGUCUCAACUUUCUCACCAAGUCAUACUCAUCCAUUCAGGAUGAUUUUGAAGCCAUUGGGUUUAUACCGAGCCAGACAAGAUUUACACUUAGUAAAAUUUACCUAUUUCACCAUUGUAUAAUAUGUAAAAGUUUGGGUACAUCAAUUUUUCUAGUAUCUUAAACCAAGAUAUUGUUUGAUUUUCAGGUUUCUAAAGAAGAGUUUGUAGAGGAGUUUUGCAGAGAAGAUGAGAAGAAAUUCUUGUAUAUAUUUUUUGUGUCUUUUCCAAUGCAAGAAUCCUGCUUUUAUACACAUUACAUGUAAUUAAUAACAGAAUCCUAGAUUUUAGGAAUCAAUUCAUCUCAACCAUUCAUCAAUUGAGGGCUACGAUUCUUACACAUGUAAGAAACAGUUUGUAACAGAAAUUAACAGAAAAAACUGCUAUAACUGCUAUAACUGCUUUAACUGUUUUUUUAACUGUUGUAACUGCUUUUAACAGAAACUUCUUCCAUUACUUCAUUCUUCAUUCUUCUGUUUAUAACCUCAGGCUUUACUUCUGAAGCUUUAAAAACAAGUAACCACCUUAACUUUCAACAGCCUCUCCUAAGCUGCUUACUGGUUUAACUCCAAGAUUCAAUCUUAGUUGCUUGAAUCUGUCUUUAGGCAAUGCUUUCGUGAAGAUGUCUGCAAGUUGCUCUUCACUUCUGCAGAAUUGCAUAUUUAUCACUCCCUCUUGCAGAGCUUCUCUUAUGAAAUGAUAUUUUCUAUUUAUGUGUCUGGUUCUUUGAUGAAAAAUAGGAUUCUUGGCCAUUGAAAUUGCUGACAUGUUAUCACAGAACAAAGGUGUUGCUUCGGCUUGCAUUUCACCAAAAUCAUCAAGAACAAAUCUUAACCAAAUUGCCUGAGCUGUUGCUUCAGAUGCUGAGACAUACUCAGCUUCUGCAGUUGAUAAUGCCACUGUGUUCUGUUUCAAAGAAGCCCAAGAGAAUGCUCCACUUCCAAAACUGAAUGCAUAACCAGAGGUGCUCCUGCUGUCAUCUUCACUUCCUGCCCAAUCUGCAUCACAAAAUCCAAUAAGAGUUGCUGACUGAUCUCUAACGUAUUCAAUGCCAUAGCUGAGAGUUCCUUGCACAUAUCUUAGAACCCGUUUUGCAACUCCCAUAUGAAUUUUGGUAGGUCCAUUCAUGAACCGUGACAGCAAACUGGUAGCAUACAUCAAAUCAGGUCUUGUUGCUGUCAAAUAUAGUAAACUUCCUACUAUUUUUCUGUAAAGACCUUCAUCAGCCAACUCACUCCCAUCCACCUUCUUUAGUUUCUCACCAGUGGCCAAAGGAAUAGAGACUGGUUUGCAGUCCUCAAGCCCAAACUUACUAAGCAAGGAUUUGACAUACUUGCUUUGAUGAAUGAAUACUCCUUGAUCGGUUUGCAGUAUUCCCAUGCCAAGAAAAUGGUGAAGAAGUCCAAGAUCAGUCAUCUCAUAUCUCUGCAUCAUUUCCUUUUUGAACUCACUCAGCAUCCUCUCGCUACUACCAGUAUAUACAAUGUCAUCAACAUAGAUUGAGACAAUGAUCAAAUUACCUUCAUGAUCAGACCUUGUAUACAAAGUAGCUUCACUUGUGCUCUUUUUGAAUUUGCACAUGGAGAGGUACGCAUCAAUCUCACUGUACCAGGCCCUUGGUGCCUAUUUUAAUCCAUACAAAGCCUUCCUGAGUUUGUAGAUUUUGUGUCCUGCAUUCUUUACUUCAAACCCCUCAGGCUGCUCUACAUAUACAUCUUCUUCAAGCACACCAUUUAGGAAUGCUGACUUAACAUUCAAUUGGAACAACUUCCAACCCUUUUGUGCUGCAAGUGCAAUAAGAGUUCGAAUUGUAUCUAACCUUGCUACUGGUGCAAAGGUUUCAUUGUAGUCAAUUCCAGAUUUCUGUGCAUAUCCUUUUGCCACAAGUCGAGCCUUGUGUUUCUGUAUUGUUCCAUCAAGAUGAAGUUUGGUUUUGUACACCCAUUUCACUCCUAUAACAAGUUUGUCAGUCGGUCUCUCCACCAAUUCCCAAGUAUUGUUCUUCUCUAUCAUUUCCAGUUCUUCCUUCAUAGCCUCCUGCCAGGCUUUAUCUCCAGCUGCUUCUUGAUAAUUCUCAGGUUCUAUGAUGCACAUGUGGCACCUUGCAUAUAUAUCUUCCAAGGAUUUUUAACUUUACUGGAGUAGAGCUAGGUGUUGAUUGUUGACUGUUAUCACUGUCAGUAUUCUCAACUAACUCUUCAACUGUAGAGUUUGGAUAAGAACAUUCAACAUUAUCGGGUUGGAUUGCAGCAGAAUGUUCUUCAGGAUUUUCACCUUCAGCUUCAUCUCCUUCAAGGUUGAGAGGCAUUUGCAUUUGAUUCAUCCGAUUUCUUCCCCAAUUCCAUGACUUAUCCUCACUGAAGAUCACACUUCUUGAGAGUACAAUCUUCUCAGAUUUCAGAUCAUACACUCUAUAUCCCUUUUCACAACUGCCAUAUCCAACAAAGACUCCUUUUCCAGCUUUGCUAUCCCAUUUCUGCCUUAGGGAUGAUGGGAUAUGUGUGUAGCAUAAACACCCGAACACUUUCAGGUGCUUGACUCCUGGCUUUCUUCUUGUGAAGGCUUCAAAUGGUGUUUUUUCCAUAACUGAUGUUGUGUAACAUCUGUUUUGAAGAUAAACGGUUGUACUCACAGCUUCUGCCCAGAAUCUCACUGGCAUUUCUUUCUCUAUCAACAUGGACUUUGCCAUCUCACAGAUUGUCCUGUUUCUCCUCUCUGCAACUCCAUUCUGUUGAGGAGAGUAUGCAAUUGUCAGCUGCCUCUCCAUUUCUUGUUUUACACAGAAUUCUUGAAACUCAUUUGAGGUAUAUUCACCAGCUCUGUCACUCCUCAACUUCUUCAAUUUAUACCCACUUUGCAGUUCAACAAGAGCUUUAAAUUUCUUGAACACAUUAAGUGUAUCAGAUUUAUUUCGGAGGAAGUAUACCCAGCACAUUCUUGAGUAGUCGUCAUUGAAUGUGAUGAAGUAUUUGUUCCCCCCAACUGAUUCGUUCUGAAUUGGUCCACACAGGUCUGUGUGUAUCAGCUCCAGUGGAUAGCUUGCUCUCCACGUUUGUUCUUUGUUAAAUUUCUCCCUGUGAUGUUUUCUUGAAGCACAGCCUGCACACACAUCUUCCACUUCUGUCAAUACAGGAAGUCCACAUACCAUCUCCUUCUGCUGCAUCUUUUUCAUGCUAGCAAAGUUCAAGUGUCCCAGUCUUCUAUGCCAUAUCCAGGAAUCUUCAAUCACUGAUGCUUUCCUUGCUGCAGGUGUCAUGGACUCAAGUGAAAGGGGAAAGCAUCGAUUUCCUCCCAUGGUUACUAUUGCUACAAUAUUGUUGAGGCUUUCAUCAUCAAAUAUCAUUGCUUUGUUACCUCCAAACAGGAUGUAAUAACCAUGCUCCAUCAUCUGGCUUACACUUAAUAGGUUUUCAUCCAAUCCUGGAACAAGCAGCACCUCUUGUAUGUAUCUCUUCCCAUGCUGAGUCUUCACCACCAGUGUGCCUUUUCCAGUUGCUUACACAAGAUCUCCAGAGCCCAUCUUUACUUUGCAGGUUACAGUUCUAUCAAUGUUGAUUAGUUCAGAUUCUUGAGAUGUCAUAUGGUUCCUGCAGGCACUGUCCACGAACCAUAUAUUUAUGUCUUGCAGACUUGCAGAAUGACAAGCAUAGAACAUGGUUCCUGUGGUUACUCCUUCUUCCUUUGCAUAGUUGGCUAAUUGUUUGUGACUGUGACUAUCACAGUCCUUUGAAAUAUGGCCAAAUCGAUUGCAUCUUCCACAUCUUGGUUUUCCUUUGUGCCUGCACAAUCCAUGAUGAUGCUUCUGGCAGACCUGACACUGUGGUUUUACACCUGCUUGACUGCUCCCCUCAACAGUGUUAUUCCAGCUUGAAUUGUUGUAGCUAUUCAGGUUUCUGUUUGGAGUCCAAUUUGAUCCCCUCCUGUCUUGUGAUUGCCAUUUUUUAGUAGAUCUGCCUUGGAAACCCUUAUGUGAGCUGUAGGCUUGAUUGUUUCCAACCUUUAAACUGCUAAAGGUUUUUUCUGUUCCUGUUAACUUGUCCCUUUCUUCAUGCAGAUCCUCCCUCUUAUCAUAAACUUUGACAGAUGCAAUGACCUCUUCUGCUCUUAGAACAUCAAGGUCUCGUGUCUCUUCAAUGAUAGACACGAUGGACUUAUAUCUUCUGCUUAAACUCAUUUGCAAUUUUUGCACAAUUCUGGUUUCUGAUACAUCUUCUCCUAAUGAUUUCAGAUUAUUCACAGUUGCAAAGAAUUUUGCUAGAUAACCAUCUAAACUUUCACCUUCUGACAUUCUCAUGUAUCCAAAAUCUGCUCUAAUUGCUUGAAGUUUCACAGCUCUAACCUUUUUAUCUCCUCUGAAUUCUCUGCUCAAAAUGUCCCAAGCUCCUUUUGCAGUCUUCUCGUUUCUUAUGCGUGGGAAAAGGUCAUCUGUUAAUGCUCCUUGUAUGAGGCUUAAUGCCUUUGCAUUCUUAAUUUUGUUUUCUCUGGAGGUAGUGGAUGUUUGCAAAGUGGUUUGCUCAGCAUCACUCUCUUCAUUUCCUGAUCCAUCUGCAGCCUCAAGUGAUUGUUUAGAUUGUAUUCCAUCUUCUAUUAUGUCCUAUAGAUCGAAUGCUAUGAGGGUUGUCUCCAUUUUUACAGCCCAAAAAUCAUAAUUUGUGCCAUUGAACUGUGGAGUUCUUAGAUCUCCUCCAGCAGAGCUUGAUCCUACCAUUUUGAGUAAGCAACAGUUUAAUCAAUCUGUUUUCACAGUUUACGCCCCUCUUAGGAAUUAGUUUUAGAGCUCUGAUACCAUGUUUGAUUUUCAGGUUUCUAAAGAAGAGUUUGUAGAAGAGUUUUGCAGAGAAGAUGAGAAGAAAUUCUUGUAUAUAUUUUCUGUGUCUUUUCCAAUGCAAGAAUCCUGCUUUUAUACACAUUACAUGUAAUUAAUAACAGAAUCCUAGAUUUUAGGAAUCAAUUCAUCUCAACCAUUCAUCAAUUGAGGGCUACGAUUCUUACACAUGUAAGAAACGGUUUGUAACAGAAAUUAACAGAAAAAACUGCUAUAACUGCUUUAACUGUUUUUUUAACUGCUGUAACUGCUUUUAACAGAAACUUCUUCCAUUACUUCAUUCUUCAUUCUUCUCGUUAUAACCUCAGGCUUUACUUCUGAAGCUUUAAAAACAAGUAACCAGCUUAACUUUCAACAGAUAUUUCAUCAUGAAUUUUGUAAUAUGUAAGUUCUUUUUAGGUAACGUAUUUUUAGUCUAUUCAAUAAUACUAUUAUAAUUGAUCUGAUUUGAUAAUAAACAUUACAAUGGUAAUUAAUUUACACAGAUAAGUUGUGUACCCAUUCCAUAUGUGUGCUUUUACUGUGAGUUAUAAACUACUAAAUUCACUUUCUUGGAUGUUGUUAGGAUUGCAAGAUGUGUGCUUUUGCAAAUAAUUUAGGCUUCCAGAUGGGCAUCCUUGUGUGCUUGUAAAUGCUGGUAGCAAGUGCUGAUAAAAUAUGUACAAAUAUUUAUCUGAAAUGGCCCGGGGAGUUGAUUUCUGGGAAAUAACUUGAAAAAAAUGCUUUAACGAAGAAGUAAGAUAAUAAUAUUUAAAUACUUCAGCUAAUUGGUGUGUUACAGAAUCUUGAAUUAUCGACAGUUGAUCCUGCAAGCUUUUUUUUCUCAUUUGUCAGAUAUUUGAAAUUGUUUUCGUUGCUAGAUUCAAAAUGGCUGCUGGGAAACAUCAAGAACCCUCGUCUUCACGGUCUUCUCCUUGCAAAUAUCAAGUGUUCUUGGGUUCAGGGGCAAGGACACCCACAAGUACUUUACUGAUCGCUCUUCACAGCCCUUGUUCAAGCAGGGAUUCACACAUUUAGAGACGAUGAUGAAAUUGGGAGAGGAGAAAAUAUCAAGUCAGCUCCGACAGGCAAUACAACAAUAAAAAAAUAUCGAUAAUUGUGUUCUCCAAAGAUUAUGCUUCGUCGAUGUGGUGCUUCGAUGAACUUGUAAUGAUCAUGGAGUGUAAGAGGAAUGCUGACUGCAUAGUUUUGCCAGUAUUCUAUGAUGUGGAUCCAUCUGAAGUCGCUGUAGCAUUAAUAUUGGAUCAUGAAAAGCGUUUCAAGGAGGAGAUGGAGCGAGUGAAUUGGUGGAGGAUUGCUUUGUAGAAAAUUGCAGAUUUAGGAGGAAUGGUUUUAGGAAAUGGGUAAGUUGUAUUUCUGAAUGAAAUUACAAAUAUCAUAAGACUAGAAUGCUGGUAGUGAACUCUUAAUUUUUUCAGGUUUGUAGUAAAGCAUUUAGACAAUGACUGAUAUUACCUCUCCAAUUUAGAAAAAAACUGUACCACUCCCAACUCAGUGAACAUUAAAGAAAAAUAAAAAUAAAAGAAACUUUUUUUUCUCAUUUUCAGAUAUUUUUGUUCUUAGUUACUUGAAAAAAGCAAUGAUUUCUACAUUAUUCCAUUUUCGGUUUCAAUCAUUGACGCACAGCCUGGUUUAAUUUCUUUUUUCCAAGAUACUAAGAUUUUGAAACUUUAUAGAGAGACUACUAAUUAUCAUAUAUUGCAUUUUUCUUUUUGAUGCAGGCAUGAGGCACAGCUUGUCCAAUCUAUUGUCGACAAGGUCUCAAAGAAAUUGGAUCGUAAAAUAUUUCAUAUCCCCCUUCAUUUCAUUGGAAGAGAUCCUCUAGUAAAAAACAUAUCAACUUAUGGUUGCAAGAAUAUGGCUCCCACAGUUCUGCCUUUGAUAUACUCUAUGGGAUUGGUGGAGUAGGGAAGACAACCAUAGCAAAUAGUGUUUAUAACCAGCAGUUUCAUAAGUUUGAAGGUAGGAUCUUUCUAUCAAAUGUUAGAGAAUAGUCAAAAGAAUCCAAUGUUGUAGUUUGCCUACAGAGGCAACUUCUUUCAGAUAUCCUAAACAAUGCUGAUGACAUACAUGAUGUUGAUGAAGGGAUUAUAUUAAAGACGCGUUAUGUUGCAGAAGAAAUCUUAUUGUUCUUGAUGAUGUGGACAAAUGGGACCACUUCAAUGCAAUUGUUGGCACGCGAAAUUGGCUUCGCCAAGGAAGUAAAUCAUUGUAAGAACUAGAAAUAAGGCUUUGAUUGUAGCUGAUGGUGAGUGUGUCAAGUGCAAAGAUGAACCUCUAGAUAACAAAAAAUCACUUAAUCUUUUGAGUUGGCAUGCCUGUGGACAAGCUUACCCAGUUGAAGAUUUUAUUGAGGAAUCUUGGAGAAUAGUACAUCAUUGUAAUGGACUUCCAUUAGCCCUUUGUGCUAUUGGUGCUUCAUUUUUUAGUAAAAGCAGAAAAGUAUGGGAAAGCGCAUUACAUGAAAUGGAAGUGAUUCCAAAUUGUCAAGUUCAAAAGGUUCUUGCAAAAAGUUAGAACUCUCCUGAUGAUGAUUAUCAGAAGAACUUAUUCCUUGAUAUUGCUUAUUUCUUCAAUGGAAUGGAUGAGGAUUAUGCAGCUAGGACACUUGAUGGGUUCGGUAUAGAUGCAAGAUUUAGGAUUGACUAUCUCAUCGAUUGAUGUCUUGUAGAAAUUGUUAAAAUAAAAUAAUAAAAAUUUAUAAAUGCAUCAACUCGUAAGAGACAUGGGAAGGGAAAUUGCUCGUCAAGAAUCACCCAAAUGUCAAAGAAUAUGGCAUCACAUGGAAGCUUUUACAGUUUUGAAAGAAACAAGUGUAAGAGUAACUGGUUCUGUUUUCCUAUCUUCAUGGUAUUUAGGUGUCUUAAAAUGUUCAUGCUUUUACUUUCUUUUCUCAUUUAUUUUCAAUAUUUUGGAAGCAUGAUGCUGAAAAAUUGUGUGGCCUUACCCUGUAUAUGCAUGAAUCCGUACAGAAGUUGUCUGUACUGAUUCAAUGGUUCGCCUGCAACCGCUGCAGGCUUAACUUCUUUCAACAAUGUCUUCUUCCUACAUUCCUCUCUCAAUAGUGGCUUUCUGAGUUUUUCUUGGGGGAACAAGUACAAAUUGACCAAACAAGUUUGUUUCUUGUCCUCAGCACGAAACAAAUUUUCUCUACAUUUUUAUAAGUUCUUGAUCUCUGUUGCUUAUUUUAUAAGUUCUGCUUUAUUUCAACUCUACAUUUUUGUUCUUGUAUAUCUAGAAACUUUUCCCUUUGCUCAUUUUAUAAAUUCUGCUUUGAUGGAACAGAUAGAACUUUAGGGCAACAGAUUCAAUGUUGUCCUUGAAUAUGAUGAAAAUGAGAUGUUUAGGUGGUUUCACGAGGAGGAAGAACAGGAGUAGCUACUUUAGAAAGAGUAUGUAGAGUACUUGCAAUUCAAAAUAUCCUCACCCGCUGCGCACCGGAUAUGUGGCUUUGAUCUAUUCACCGAGUCUGGGUUUCUUACCCCUUAAUUUUUCGAUAGAAUUUUUGGCCGAAAUGAUGUCAAUAGCCAUCAACUUCUCCUCUUAAUUAGAUUUUUCUAACUUGAUUCUUACUUCAGGAUGUCAAUAGCCAUCAACUUCUGGAAUUUAUUUUCUAACUUUUUUCUUACUUCACGAUGUCAAUAGCCGUAACUCCCGGCACCAAAAUUUUCCGACUUUCUGCUUCCGAUAUUAGCCAUGGAAAAUUCCUCACGCGGAAACGUUCCAUACCAUAGAGAGAGAGUGGACUUGUAGGGAUGACUUGUCUUAAAAUUACAAUCCACCCUUUCUCUCUCAAUUUUAAAACCAUUCGCCCAUGUCUUGGGCCCAGUUGUAGACUAGUUCUGAUUACAUAAGGGUGUGUUUGGUAUUAUGAUUUGAAAGUAUUUUAGUAUAUCAAAAUAAUUUGAAAAUAUAAAAAACAUAUUAAUUUAAAAUAAAAAAAUAAAAAAAUAAUAAUUAAAAUUUUACUUUAAAUUAAUAUGUUUUUUAUGUUUUUGUAUCAUUUUGAUGUGCUAAUGUCAAAAAUAAUUUUUAAAAAUAAAAAAAAAAUUAUUUUAAUGUGUUUUGGAAUGAAAAACACUUUGAAAAACAACCGCUACCACACUCUCAAACACGCUCCUAAAAUAAAUUUCAGGUAAUUGCGUUAUCCAAUUAACUUAAAUAACUAUUUGGGAAUGUGGUUGUAGUUGCUUUUUAAAGUGUUUUUCAUUUGGAAAUGCCUCAAAAUGAUAUUUUUUUUUUAUUUUUAAAAAAUUAUUUUUGAUAUCAGCGCAUCAAAAUGAUUUGAAACACUAAAACAAUAUUAAUUUAAAGCAAGGAAAAAAAGAAAAAAAAAUUCAAAUUUUUUCAGAAAUGCUUUUGAAACACAAAAACAAACAUGAUCUUAAGUCAAUUAUUUUAUUUUUUGUUUUAAAAUAAAUUAUUUGAUGUUGAUCUGAUUGAAUUUCAUUCGGAGUUAGCAAGACUUAGUUAAAUUAAUAUUUUUUUUAUUUAAAUUUAAAUUUAAAUUUUAUUUAUAAAAAAUCUGAUUCAGGAGUUUUUUAUAUCCGAGAACAAACUAUUAAAGACCUCAAAUUCCAUAAAUCUUAAAUUCUAAAUAAACAAGAAAUUAAAUUAUUUAAAUGAAAUACUAAUCUAAAAAUUAUACUGGUUGACUAAUUUAUUUAAUUUAACCAAUUGCUUUGUUUUUCAAUUAAUUCUUCAUAAAUCUACUUUACUUUCAACAUAUUCAAAUGAUGCAACAAGAAUUACAGGGCCCGGUAAACUUUCCAAGUCAGAUAUGAAGAGCCUUAUCCUCCACGUGCCUUUAUCUUACUGGUGGGUGAAGUAAGAAGAACCGUGUGAGUUGAUGGGAGGGAUUAUGUGUUGUGUGUGUGUCUAAUGUCCCUUUUGGUAAUUAUAGCAAGAAUUACAGGCCCUAGUAAACGCGUGAUAAAUGAUUUGAGCAAAUUAAAUAAAAAAAGGGUCCUCACGCGGGAAAUGGUCCAUACCACAACGACUUGUAAGGCUGACUUGAAAGCAUAAAAUUGAUGAACUGAUAAGAGAACAUCAGCGAAGGGAAAGUGAAGAUUGCAGGUACUCUCUCUCUCUUAUCUCUUUUAGUAUUAUGUUAUAUUGUGGAAUGUAACUCUGCUGUAAGUGAGAAUCACUUAAAUUAAUUCACUGUUAGAAACUAAUUAUUGAUGAUCUCAUCAACCGAUUUUGUUGGUUCAGCAUAGAGAUUUAUCAUAUUGUGGAAUGUACAGAUAUUUUUCUGAAAGGGCAUGGAGGAUUUGAUUGCUGGGAAAUAACUUGAAAACUGUUUUAAAGAUAAAGUAAGAUAAUAAUAUAUGAAUACUUCAGCUUAUUGGUGUGCUGUCGAUCUUGAACUCUCGACAUCAAUCCUGCAACUCGUUUUAUUUUGUUCAGAUCUUUGAAAAGUCUUAUCUUUGCUAGACUCGAAAUGGCUGCUGGGAAAUAUCAAGAAUCCUACUCUUCACGAUUUUCUAAUUGUAAAUAUCAAGUGUUCUUGAGUUUUAGAGGUGAAGACACCCGCAAGAACUUUACCGAUCACCUCUACAAGGCCCUGGUUGAUGCAGGGUUUCACACAUUUAGAGAUGAUGAUGAAAUUCGGAGAGGAAAGAAUAUAGAGCUGGAGCUCCAGAAGGCAAUACAACAAUCAAAAAUAGCGAUAAUCGUGUUCUCCAAAAACUAUGCUUGGUCGAGAUGGUGCCUCGAUGAACUUGUAAUGAUCAUGGAACGUAAGAGGAAUGCUGACUGCAUAGUUUUCCCAGUAUUCUAUCAUGUAGAUCCAUCUGAAGUCAGAAAUCAAACUGGGAGCUUCGCUGCAGCAUUUGUGGAACAUGAAAAGCACUACAAGGAGGAGAUGGAGCGGGUGAAUGGGUGGAGGAUUGCUUUGAAGGAAGUUGCAAAUUUAGCUGGAAUGGAUUUAGGAGAUGGGUAAGUUAUAUCUCUUGAUGAAACUAUACAUUGCAUAAGACUAGAAUGCUGGUCGUGAACUCUUGAUUUCUUUCGGUUAAGUGUACUGAUAAGAAAACAUAUAAGAAAAAUAAAAUAAAAUACUUAUAAUUUCUUCUUCUUCUUCUUCUUUUUCGAUCAUGAUUUGGUUUUAAUAGGUGGUGAUCAUAACACACCUACAAAUUUAACUAUCAAUCAUGGACACGCAACCCGGUUUAAUUUCUUAGUUAAAUGUUGUUUAUUUCUAUCCUUUAUAGAGAGGCUACUAAUUAUCCCACGUUGUAUUUUACUUUUUGAUGUAGGUACGAGGCACCGUUUGUCCAAUCUAUUGUGGAGAAUGUCUCAAAGAAUUUGGAUCCAAAAAUAUUUUAUGUCCCCCUUCAUUUCAUUGGAAGAGAUGCUCGAGUACAAGAUAUCAACUCAUUGUUGCAAGAUGGAUCCCAUGGUGCUGCCAUUGCUUUACUCUAUGGAAUUGGUGGAGUUGGAAAGACAGCCAUAGCUAAGAGUGUUUUUAACCAGAACUAUUAUAAAUUUGAAGGAAAGAGCUUUCUAUCAAAUUUUAGGUCAAAGGAUAUAGUUUGCCUACAGAGGCAACUUCUUUUCGACAUCCUAAACAAGACUGUCGAGAUAAAUGAUGAAGAUGAAGGAAUUCUGAAGAUUAAGGAUGCAUUAUGUUGCAGAAGAACUCUUAUUAUUCUAGAUGAUGUGGACAAAAGGGACCAAUUCAAUAAAAUCAUUGUCAUGCAAAAUUUGCUUUGUAAAGGAAGUAAAAUCAUUGUAACAACCAGAAAUAAGGGUCUGUUUUCAGCUAAUGAUAUUCAGUGGAUCCGGUACAAAGUUGAACUGCUAGAUGAUGAAAAAUCACUUGAGCUUUUUGUUGGAAAUUUGGCAGAAAUAGAGAACAGAAAUUGAAGGGUUUAGGCUGCACACUCUCUAAUUUGGUAGAAUACAAUACAUAUGAAAAUGGUACUCUCACUCCUUUUUCAUUAUGAGAUUCAUACAAUAUAUAGACAUUAAUAGUUGCGACUCUUCAAUACUAAUAGUUGUAACUCUUCAAUACUAAUAAUUGUGAUCUUCAAUACUAAUAGAUGCAACUCUUCAAUACUAAUAAUUGUGACUCUUCAAUACUAAUCUUGAUAAAUAAGUUUAAUAACUAACAUUCACCCCUCUUAAACUUGUUUCAUCAAUCUUCACGAUUCCAAGCUUCUUCUGCAGAUAACAAAAAACUUCAGUCUUCAAUGGCUUUGUAAAAAUAUCAGCAAUCUGUUCAUGAGUGUUGACAUGAACUAACUCCACAUCGCCUUCUUUUAUGUGCUCUCUAAUAAAAUGAAAUCGAGUAUCAAUAUGCUUUGAACGUUCAUGAUGCACUGGAUUCUUUGCAAGAGCUAUAGCAGACUUGUUAUCAACGAAAAUUCUUGUGGCUUCACUCUGUUUCUGUUGCAGAUCUUCCAUCAAUUUCCUUAGCCAUAUUGCAUGACACACGCAUGAUGCAGCAGCAAUGUAUUCUGCUUCACAUGUGGAUAAUGCAACAAUAGAUUGUUUCUUGGAUGUCCAUGUGAAUGUUGUUUCUCCCAUGAAAAAUAUGAAUUCAGUUGUGCUUUUCCUGUCUUCCAAGCUUCCUGCCCAAUCACUAUCACUAUAACCUGUGAUUUUGAAAUUCUGUGAUGAUGAAUAACAUAAUCCAUAGUUUAAUGUUCCUUUAAUAAACCGAAGGAUCCUCUUUGCUGCCUUCAAAUGUGAACUCCUUGGUCUCUCCAUGUAUCUGCUAACCAAACCAACUCCAAACAGAAUGUCUGGUCUAGUACAAGUUAGAUAACGCAAACACCCCACAAUACUUUUGUAAUAUGUAGGAUUAACUAAAUCUCCUUCUCCUUCUUUAGUUAACCUCGUUCCAUACUCAACUGGAUUGUCUGCUGGAUCACAAUCUUCCAUAGCAAAUUUCUUUAACACUUCUGUUGCAUACUUGGCUUGAGAAACGAAAAUUCCAUUACUGCAUUGCUUCACUUCUAAUCCCAGAAAAUAUGCUAGAAGACCUAAGUCUGUCAUCUCAAAUUCCUUUACCAUGGAUUGCUUGAAAUCUUGAAUCAUUGUAGGAUCAUUCCCUGUGAACAGAAUAUCAUCCACGUAUAAGCAAACAAACAUUAUUCUAUCAUGCAAGUUUUUCUUCACAUAUAAUGCAUGUUCAUACGGGCAUUUUGUAAACCCCUUCUGAGAAAGAUAGCCAUCAAUUCUUGAGUUCCAUGCUCUUGGUGCUUGUUUGAGUCCGUAAAGGGCUUUCUUCAAUCUGCACACCUUUUCUUCUUCUUCUUUUACUACAAAACCAGCUGGUUGCUCAACAUAUACUUCCUCUUCAAGAUUGCCAUUCAAGAAUGCUGAUUUUACGUCCAUCUGAAAUAUCUUCCAUUGUUUCUGAGCAGCCAAUGAAAUCACCAAUCUCACAGUUUCCAUUCUUGCUACUGGAGCAAAAACAUCUUCAUAAUCUACUCCAUAGCGUUGCUUGUACCCUUUUGCAACUAAUCUGGCUUUAUGUUUUUCAAUUUCUCCUUCAGCAUUCUUCUUUGUCUUGAAGAUCCAUUUUACUCCGAUUGCAUUGUGACCUUCAGGAAGUGUUGUCAGCUCCCAUGUAUUGUUCUUCUGAAUGGAAUUGAUCUCCUCCUUCAUUGCUUUCUUCCACUUGUCUUCCUGAUAUGCUUCUUCAAAUGUUAUGGGAUCAUUUCCUGAAAACAAACACAACAUGUUGACAUCAUCAAGGUUCAUUCUCUCUGUCGCGUCAUAGACUUCUUGUAUGCUCUUUGUUUUUCUUGCUGAACUUGAAGGACUAGCGGGGCUGCUAGUUGAUGGGGCUGGAUUGAUUAUGAUUUCUUCUUCAUCAUUCUGCAUUUGUUCUUCUUCUACAACCAAUUUCUGCAGUUGUUCCUCAGUACUCCAGUUCCAUUCUUGCUCUUCAUCAAAUCUCACAUCUCUUGACAUGAUCACCUUUUUUGUUACUGGAUUGAACAAUUUGUAACCAUACGAAUUUUCUCCAUAUCCUAGCAGUAUGCAUUUCUGACUUUUAUCUUCAAGCUUGGUUCGUUUUUCAUCUUGAAUUUUGGCAUAAGCUGUGCUGCCAAAAAUCCUUAAGUGAUCAACUCUCGGUUUCUUCAUGCUCCAGGCUUCUUCUGGUGUAAGCAUAUGCAACCUCUUUGUUGUAAAUCUGUUCAACAAAUACACAGCACACACAACUGCAUCUCCCCAAAAUUCUUUAGGACAAUUCUUUUCUUUUAACAUACAUCUAACCAUGUUCAUAAUAGUCCUAUUUUUCCUCUCCGAUACUCCAUUCUGUUGUGGAGUCUGUGGCAUUGUGAGCUGAUGUGCUAUACCAUUCUCUUUACAAUAAUAAUCAAAAGCAUGAGACACAUACUCUCCUCCCCUAUCAGUUCUCAGAUUUUUCAGCUUGCAUUCACUUUGCUUUUCUACUAGAUUUUUAAAUUCCUUAAACUUGCUCAGCACUUCUUUUUUUUCUUUCAACACAUAUACCCAUGUUUUUCCACUAAAAUCAUCAGUGAAUGUAAGGAAAUACCUGUUUCCCCCUAUUGUUGUAGGUGUAAUUGGCCUACACACAUCUGAAUACACCAAUUCCAGAGGCUGAGAUGCUCUAGAACUCUUCUUUGGGAAGGAUUUUCGGUGCUGCUUUCCCAUCACACACACUUCACACAAAUCGUUUGUGUGUUCGAGCUGUGGUAUUCCCAGAACCAUCCUGUGUUUCUCCAUCAUCAUUAAUGAUCCACAAUUCAGAUGUCCAUAACGCAAAUGCCACAAGUUCGUCAGAUUUGAACUUUCUGCCUUGAAACAGUUUGACAUACACACAUUUACGUCAAGAGGAAACAUCCUGUUUUUGGUCAUCUUGACUGAGGCAAUUAAAGCUCCAGAUUCAUCAAAAAUCUUCAAGUUCUUAUUCUUCAUCUGCACUUCAAAAUCUUGCUCCAGAAAUUGUCCCAGACUUAAGAUGUUACUCUUCAUGUCUGGAACGUAAAAUACUUCUGUUAUGAAUUUCUGCUCACCAUUCUUGAGUUGUAUAAGAAUUCGGCCUCUUCCUUCAACAGGUAUUUGAGAAAGAUCUCCAAAAGUGAUUUUUCCUUUGUAACUCUCAUCAAUAUCUGCAAAUGCUUCCUUCAUGCCACACAUAUGAUUUGAUGCUCCUGUGUCUAGAUACCAGGUACUAGAUCUGCUAUCAUCAAAUUUUCCACAUGCCAGCAGCAGUGCAGGUUCUUCUGAAUCACUUACCUUCUCAGCAAAAUUAACAACUUUGUCUUCAAAUCUGUAUUGUGAACAGUCAGAGGCGAAAUGACCAUAUUCCUUGCAAUUAUAACAUUGCACGCCUGUAUUGUUAUUUCUCCAGUUUGAGUAUCCUCCACGACUUCUUCCUCUGAAUCUGCCUCUGCCUCUGCCAUUGAAAUUCUGAUUUCGUGCACCAUGAAAUUCUUGAUUUCUAUAUGAUCUUCCUCCUCUUCCUCUUCUAUGAAAAAAUCUGCCUCUCUGGAAUGCUCCUCUGUUGGAUUCAUUGGAAUUCUUCAAAGUUAUCUGUGUCUGCAGAGCAUGUUCAAGUGUUCUUCCUUCUCCUCUUCUGUCAAUUUUCUGCUCAUGGGCUUGCAGUGAUCCCAUUAACUCUUCUACUAUCAACUCUUCUAAAUCUUUUGAUUCUUCAAUUGCUACAACCACAUGGUCAAACUUUGAAUCCAGUGAUCUCAAAAUUUUCUCCAUCACACGAACAUCAUCAAUAUUUUCACCAUUCCUUCUCAUCUGGUGAACCAAAGUGAUUACUUUUGUAAAGUAAUCUGAGAUUGUCUCAUUGCCUUCUUUGUUCAGCUUCUCAAAAUCUCCUCUCUGAGAUUGUAGCCGAACUCUUUUUGUUUUUUCAACUCCACUAUAAGUUUUACUAAGCAUUUCCCAUGCUUCCUUUGAUGUCUUUGCUGGUGCCACCAUCUCAAGGGUUGCUUCAUCAAGCCCUUGAUAAAUUGUGAAUAACGCCUUGUUGUCUUUCUUUCUUGAUUCUCUCAGUACUUGUCUCUCUGCAUUGCUCAUCACAGCGUCUUCUCUUGGUUCAGUAUAACCAUCUUCAACCAGCUCCCAUAACUCUUGUGAUCUAAGUAGUGCUUUGUAUUGGAUGCACCACAAAUCAUAGUUUUGUUUGGUAAGGCGAGGAACAUGAAAUUGGGAAUUGUUGUUGUUGGAAGUCAUGUUGUCUCUCGGGCUCUGAUACCAAUUUUGUUGGAAAUUUGGCAGAAAUAGAGAACAGAUAUUGAAGGGUUUAGGCUGCACACUCUCUAAUUUGGUAGAAUACAAUACAUAUGAAAAUGGUACUCUCACUCCUUUUUCAUUAUGAGAUUCAUACAAUAUAUAGACAUUAAUAGUUGCGACUCUUCAAUACUAAUAGUUGUAACUCUUCAAUACUAAUAAUUGUGAUCUUCAAUACUAAUAGAUGCAACUCUUCAAUACUAAUAAUUGUGACUCUUCAAUACUAAUCUUGAUAAAUAAGUUUAAUAACUAACACUUUUCAGUUGGAAUGCCUUUGGACAAGCUAACCCUGUUGAUGGUUUUGUGGAAGACUCUUGGAGAAUAGUACAUCAUUGUAAUGGACUUCCAUUAGCUCUUGGAGUUAUUGGCUCUUCAUUGUCCGGAAAAGGAAGAGAAAUAUGGGAAAGCGCAUUAAAACAAAUGGAAAUGAUUCCUAAUUUUGAUGUUCAAAAGGUUCUUCAAAUAAGUUACGACUUUCUUGAUGGUGAUUAUCCGAAGAACUUAUUCCUUGAUAUCGCAUGUUUCUUCAAUGGAAUGGAUGUGGAUGAUGCAGUUAGGAUACUGGAUGGGCUCGAUAAAGGUGCAAGAUUUGGGAUUGACAAUCUCAUCGAUAGAUGUCUUGUUGAAAUCAACAGUGAUCGAAGGUUGUGGAUGCAUCAACUAGUAAGAGAUAUGGGUAGGGAAAUUGCUCGUCAAGAAUCACCCAAAUGUCAAAGAAUAUGGCAUCAUGGGGAUGCUUUUACAGUUUUGAAAGGAACUACUGUAAGUAGUUGAAUUUUUUUAAAUGUCUACUUAAAUGGUUUGUGGUGCCUUGACAUAUUCAUUCAUCUACUUUCCUUUCUCAUGUACUUUUAAUAUUCUUAUGCAGGAUGCUGAAAAAUUGCGUGGCCUUACCAUUGAUAUGCAUGCAUUAAUGGAAGAUCAUUAUGCAGAAGUUGUCUGUACUGAUUCAAUGGUUUGUCGCAAGCGCCGCAGGCUUAACUUCAUUCAACAAUGGCUUUCCGAUUUUUCCGAUGGGGGGAAAUUACAAACUGGCCAAACAAGUUUGUUUCCCAUCCUCAGCACGGAUGCUUUUAGAAAGAUGCCAGAUAUAAAAUUUCUCCAACUAAACUACACUAAAUUUCAUGGAAGUUUUGAGCACUUUCCCAAGAAUUUGAUAUGGUUAUGUUGGCAUGGAUUGUCUUGGAGCUCCAUACCAAAUCACAUAUGCUUGGAGAAGCUGGUGGUUCUUGAUCUAUCCAGAAGCUGUCUAGUUGAUGCUUGGAAGGGCAAACCGGUAUGAUCAAGUCUCUUUAUAGCUAUCUCUCUCGUUUUCAAUUGAUAACAACUAAAUUCAUGUAUUUUCACAGUUUCUUCCAAAAUUGAAAAUUCUUGAUCUCCGUCACUCUCGUGAUCUCAUUAGAACCCCAGACUUCUCGGGUCUCCCAGCCCUUGAAAAGCUAAUACUUGAAGACUGCAUCCGUUUGGUUCAAAUUCACGAAUCUAUUGGUGAUUUACAAAGAUUGUUGAUCUUAAAUCUAAGAAAUUGUACAAGUCUUAUGGAGCUUCCAGAAGAAAUGAGUAGAUUGAAUUCACUUCAAGAGCUGGUUUUAGAUGGUUGCUCAAAUCUUAACAGCCUGAAUAUGGAGCUAGAGCAUCAUCAGGGACGCAAGUUGCUUCAAAGUGAUGGAAUUGUUGCAAGUACAUCAUUCAUUUCAUCUCUUUCAUUGAAGCUAUUCUUUCCCUCUAGGUUUUCAACGAGAAAAAUGUUGAGAUUUACCUCGUUUUCACUGCCACGCUUCUUGGAGAGUCUAGAUUUAAGUGGAACUUCAAUUCGUUUUCUUCCGGAAAGCAUCAAGGAUCUUGGUCUACUCAGACACCUAUACUUAAAAAAUUGCAAAAUGCUUCAGGGACUCCCAGUGCUUCCAUCCUAUUUAGAUUCGUUAGAUAUGUCCUUUUGCUAUUCACUGCAAAGACCUGCAAAUCCAGAUCACUUAGUCAAGUUCCAAGAUCGGAUAAAGCAAGAAUUAAUCCAAAAGUUUGAGUCUCGCGUGUUCAGAAUAAUGGAAACUGUUAGUGCUCAAAUACAGAUAUCGAGAUUUCAGGUCCUCCCUCAUCCAUUUUAUUGUUUUGGAAAUCUACAUUAGAAUACUUUUCUUUUUCUCAUUUUAUAGACAUUGUUUUGGUGGUACAGAUAAUAUUUAUGGAUGGCAUAUUCAACGUUGUCGUAUUUGUAUUUGAUGAAGAUGAGAUGUUAAGGAGGUUUGAUGAGGAGGAAGAAGAGGAUAAAUGGCUAAUUGAGAAUGAGUUUGUAGAGAACUUUUCAUUCAAAAUAUCCUCAUCACCUCUUGCGCACCGGAUAUGUGGCUUUAAUCUGUUCUUAAGUUGUGUGACGUCAGCAUACCGUGGCUUUAGUUAUGUUUAUAUUGAAAUCAGAAACAAUACCAGUGGCCAGUCCUUGCGUCGUCAAGUCCAUGUCUUUGAUAUGCGUUUCGAGGAUGAGGUUCGUGCAAUCCAAUCGCUAAGCCACUGGAAAUUAGGGGGCGAUGAUCCUACAUUUGAUAGUGGUGAUGACGUGACAAUUUCAAUGGUUGUCACGUCAGCUAUUCAAAUAAGGACCGUUGGUGUACAAUGGUUGCAUGAAGAGGAAGGAAAGGAUGAUGAUAUCCAAUCAAAGGAUGAAGUUAUCAAUGCCCACAACAGUAGCGAUGAUGAUGAUGAUGCAGCACACAUACCCAAAGUAGAAAUAGCUUCUCGUAUUUUUAGAAAUUAUUAUUGUGGUUACCAUGGUAAAUACAGUGCUCGCAAUUUCACUUAUUGGAAUUUUGCAAAGAAGGGUGUAUUAUUUCAACCGUAAGGGGGUUUUGUAUCUCUAGUAAUCUUCCUCCUUUCUUUGUCUAGCAUGAGAUAUUUUAUUUAUAAAUAUUUGUAAGGGCUUUCAUAUUCAAAAAUGUAAUAUGAUAUUAUUUUAUUAAUUUGUAUUUAUAAUAAGACAUAUUAAAUAUCUUAUUUUAUAUGUUAACCUUUUAUUGACCAAAAUAUAUGUAAAUGUUCAUUUUUUUUCAUGUUAUUUUAUCUAUUUUAUUUCAUCUUUUUAUGUAAAAAUAAAAUAAAAAUAACACAUGAUAAAAUUUAAUUAGAAAAUUUUUUUUGUUUCUAUAUAUAUCCUCUCGUAACACGUUUACUUUUAAUAAAAAAUAAAUAAGCAUGUUUGACUAAGAGGAUUUUAUAAUUUGAAUCUAUUUUAUUUUAAUUAAAAAUUGAAUUGAUUUUAUUGAAUUUUCACAAUAAAUUAAUAUAGAUAUUUUUAUUGUAAAAAUAAAAUAUAAUAAUCAUCAAAAUUAGAAAUUUAAAAAUUAAUUUUGAUUGAAAAUUAUCAAAUUAAAAAAUAGAAUUAAAAUUCAAUAACAAAAGUGGAAAUCGUAAAAUUUUCUAUGAGACUCUUUCUUUUCAUAAAAAAAACAGUUACUUUGAGAUCUUGGUUUGAAAGUCUUGUUAUCCUGAAUCAAAAGACGCAAUCUGUUCAUGAUUUCGAUUAAUGAUCGAUGCAAUUGAAUCAGUUUUCAUACACCAGCACUGCACUGGCACCUAUGACCUCAAACAUUAUGACCCUUUUUUUAUCAACAUUAUGAGGAUCUUGGAAUGUGUUUUCAUUUCCCUGGUUUUUGACAGCAACAGUUGUUCUAGGAGACGCGAGAGCCACAAAGUUCUAACCACUUGGACUUUUUAAUGGGUGGCUGUUGUAGCUAUAUCAUGGCAUGCUCUGUUGAUUUUCCCAACCCAUUCUCCUGAUGCAAGAUCAAGUGCUAAAAGUAUUCCAGGUUUAAAUCUUCAAGAAAUUGCUGAGUAUGUCUGAGGAGAAAUAGACCGCAACCUCAUCUUGUAGAGAAUGACCAACGCCACAGAGCUAUGGUUUUGUGUAGACCCUCACAAACCCAUCUUUGCUUCUUUUUUAAGAACUGAGUGGAGGAGGCGGUGGGAGUGGCCCGAUGGCAGUGAUGGAGGUAUUAAAAGCUCGACCUGUGUUGUUGCACAUACACAAGGUUACCUUCUGUAGAAUUUCAAACUUCUGCAAUAACAGUCCUAUAAGCUCUUUAUUAUCUGGGUAACCGCAUGGCAUUCUCUUGCUAUAGGGAGGGUUUUUUUGUACAAAAAAAGAAUAAGGAGGAAUGAUGAGAAACAGAAGAGCAAGAAGGGACGAAGAUAAAAACAGAGAACAUGGGGGAACGAAGGAGAAGACUAAAAAAUACAGGGGGUGAGAAGGAACGAGUGAUGAGAAACAGAACCAGGGAAGACAAACGAGCCUAACACAGAGACGAAAACGAGAAAACACAGAGGAGGGAGCUUCCAUUCAACCAGCAGCACCUCACGCCUUCAUCACCAUCGUCUUCAUCCUGAGCAGAAAACCCAGAGAGAAAGCAAAAGGAAAGAACCAGUCAGAGUAAAGAAAGCGAAAGGAGGAACAGAGGAAGUAUUACAUAAAGCAUCAAAAAGUACGAAGUCAACAGAUGUUCUGCAAGAUGACACUACCUCAAGACAACUAAAGUAAUAUCCAGAAUCAGAGCUCUGCAAAUUAAUGAAAAUUAUCAAUGAGGACAUUACCAUCCCCAUUUGCUGUUCUCUCCAGCUGAUCAUCAUCCCCUUGUUGCUACUAACCAUUUUCCAAGACUGUGAAUUCCACAAGCCCAUUUGAUGUUUUCUCUAAAACAACUAAAAAACGCUUGAGUUCUCUUCCAAUUUUCCGAUGAGCCAAGUCAACGGGAAACCUCACAUACUCUUUUGACAACAGAAUCCUAUUACUAUCACACCAUGGAACCUCCAUUCUUAUAGAAACCCCACUCAGUAACCCUCUUGCCAUCAGCACUUGCAAUCCCUGAUUCCCUAAACCCACACUCUAUAGCCAAAGACACCAAACAUUGUGCAGCUUCAAUGUCCCUCCACUCCACAGCAAUACUCAAUGGCUCAAAACGGAACACCAGUCGGUAGCCGACCCAGUAGCUGAUUCAGAAUCAUGAUCCUCCACGUGCCUUUUUCUUAUUGGUGGGUGGUAUUGAUGCUGGUUUUGGAUGCGAGAGGAUAGAGAUACGACCAGAGCAGGCGCACAGCGAGAGUGGAUGAGUUGGAUCAUGCGGGUGUCUAAUGUCCCUUUUGGUAACUAUACCUCGCAUUCCUAUAUAAUAAAAUAUUUUAUUUAUAAUAUUGUGCUCAUAGUUUUAAAACCUAACCUGAUCGGUGAUCGAUUUGGUCUAAUAAUCAAGUUACGGGUUAGAUAAAUUAACUCAAAUUAACCCGGGUCAAUAAAAAAAAAUUAAUAAAAAAAAUUUACAAUGUCCAUGUUUGGUCACUGUCAUGUCUUACACGAAAAGACUUAAAGCUAAAAUCCAUCAUCCUUUCUUGCAUGGUCUUAUCUCUAUAUGUCACUCCCAAAUAAAUCCAGCAGAGCCCCUUUCCUAGCUGGAAUUCAACAAUCCACCAUCCCCCGACCUCAACAAUUGCAAACCUAGUCAAUAACAGCAGUUUUCACAACAGCCACGUAGCAGCUCCACCACCACCACUCUACAUUCUCUAUCGAUUACAGUCCUUUUAUCACUAAAUCACAACAUCUAUUGCCCUUCUCACGCCACCCAAAUCCUCUCCCCAUAGUGGCCUUUACCAGCAAUUCACAAAAAAACCCGAGCGACCAGCCACCACUUUAAACUGAUAGUCUCUCCACCAUGACCCUUCUCCUCCACCUCUCAGCUUUUUUACACACAAAUACUCGACAGUCUCUUUCCACCAUGCUGCUCGCUCCCCUCCCCUCUAAUCUAUUCUUAUAAAGGCUUGAGAGAAUUGUAACUAAGUUAUAAGAUAAAUGAAGAAAACCAACAAUACGGUCGCUGAGUUAUAAAGCAACAAACAGCACAACCACUUGAAUCUAUAAAGAACAAAAAAAAAAGGAAGGUAGUCGGGCCUUAGCCGGGUUUACCUGGGUCGACUGGGUUCCGGGUUGACUCUUUAAGUCGAUCGGAUUUUGUCGGGCCAACUCCUCGGCGCAUUUUUACUUAGACUCGGACUGGUUCCAGGCCCGGGUCAGCUAGGUCCCGAGUUGACCUGCCGGGUUGGUCCAGGUUUUAAAACUAUGAUCGUGCCGCAUAGACUUGAAGGGUUGUCUUAAAAUUUUGGAGCAGAACUGCUUAGAUUACUGAUACCGAACAACAACCACAACUUAAGAGAGAAGGGAAAGGGAAACUUGCAGGUACUCUCUCUUUCUUAUCUCCUGUUUACUUUGGUUCCAGCUGCUGUCUUGUUUUCUUUGUUGAUGAUCACUUAGAUUGAACCACUGUUAGUGACUACUUGUUUAUCAUCUCAUCUUAUCAUGCCACUCAAGAAAUUAUAAACUAACAAAUUCACCUCCGUACUUAUGUAAGAGAAUAUGCUGAGGUUCUCAUGAGGAAAAACAAUAUUUAGAAAAUAAUGUGUUGUUUCUAUUAGCGUCAGUUGUUAUUGAGAAUCUUAGUGGUAAGACCUAUAACAAGAUGAUUCAUAUAAAAGAAUUAUGUUAGAGACUCAUGAUGAGAUGAUCUGUAUACUGGUGUUGUGUUAAGAACUCCAAAUGAGAUGGUUUAUAUAAAAUUAUUGUGUUAAGGAUCCAAAUGUGAUGACCUACACAUAAAAGAUAUUUGUGGAGAACGAUUGCUAAUCAAGGUCCGAACUUAAAAGACAAGUUUCUUCCAACAUGAGAAGACUAACAUGAAUUUUUUUUUAGAAAAAUAAAUAUUUUUCUUAGUUAAUUUUAUUUUUUUCUAUUUCUAUUUUCCUAUUAAAUAUUAUCAGGCUUUUCUAGUUUUUCUAUUUGAAUGAAAUAUUUUUUUCUAUUUCUAUUUUUAUAUUUAAUGCUAAUAUGGUUUUUUUAGUAUUUCUAUAUAAAGGGUUGUAAUAACUUUUGAUUAGUGGAGACUUAGAUGAAAAAAUAAAUAUUUUGGACGUCUCUCAAUAAUUAUGGUGUUCUGGGUCUUUGAGGGUUUUAACUUAUAACAAAACCUAUUAUUCUCUGUACCUGUCUAUGUUAGUUAAUAUUAGAGUCUAAUGAUUCAUGGUGGUUUUGGUUGGAUGUCGUAGAUGACCUGUAUCAGAGCUCAAUGAUUUCUUAUGGUUAAUUGCUAUGUGUUGUUGAAUAACCAUGGCUAAAACAGGUUGCAGAACAAGACGUAGUUGUGUAGGAGGGGAUGAUAAGGUUUCCCGUAGAAAAAAAUACAUUAAGGAAUUAAUGUGAUGUUUCUAUAUACUUUGGUUGUUGUUAUUGAAAAUCCUAGUGGUAGGACCAAUGAUGGGGUAACCCACAUAAAAGUUGUGUUAGAGAUUUAGGAAGAGAUGACUAAGAUAAAAGUAUUGUAUUAGGGAUCUAUAAUGAGGUGACACUAAAAAAAUAUUGUGUUACACAAAGGAUAUUCAUGGAGGAUGAUUGUUGACCGAGGUUUGAACACAAAGAUAAGUUCUUUUCAACCCCGAAAGACUGAUGGAAGAGUUUUUUAGGAAUAUAUAUAUAUAUAUAUAUAUAUAUAUAUAUAUAUAUAUAUAUAUAUGUCUUUGUAAUUUUUUUUUUAAUUUUUAGCUUCCUAGUCAAUAUUAAAAUACUCGCUCUCAUUGGUUUUUCUAGUUUUUUUUAUUUAUAAUUUGAAUGGAAUAAUUUUUCUAUUUUUAUUUUCUUAUUCAAUAUUAAUAGGGUUAUUUAGUAUUUAUAUAUAAAGGGUUGUAAUAGAUUUUGGCGAGUGGAAAUUUUGAUGAAUAAAAAUUGAAUAUUUUUAAGGGUUUUGAUGUAUAAACAAACCCUAUUAUCAUUCGCUCUCAUAUGUGUCACAAUCAACACGGUCAAACUCUAGCUUCUUUGUAUUUUUUUAAUAUCAAAAUGAUAUAUAUAUAUAUAUAUAUUUUAAUUUUGAAAUGAUAUUAUUUUAGAUUGAUUUGUGUUAAUCGCAUAACCUGUGACCAAUGCGUUGGCCCGAAUCAUAGGUAAGGUCGAGUUUAAUAACUUUUGUUUUCAUAAGAUAAAUUAAGUUCAUUUAGACUAUUUGCAUCAGUUUUAAGAAAUUAAGAAAAAUCAUAGCGUGAUUGAGGUUAAUUCUUAGUUUUAAUGAUAAAAUAAUUCCGACACUAUAAUUUUCAUAUACCGAUAUUAAUUCUUUCUUCAAUCACGUCUUCAACAAACCAUUUAUAUGCAUAUAUAGAUUGAUGUAUAUCAUAAAAGUUUAUUUACAAGAAAAUUUUUUGAAUUUGAAUUUUGAGUAUGAUAGCUACAUGAAAUCUACUUACCGUCUUAGUAAAAGAUUAUUAUUUAAUAACUAGGUUAUUUCCCACGCUAAGCUAUGACUUGGAUCAAAAUUAUUUUGAAUAUAAAAAAAUAAUAUCCUAGUUGUGAGGAAUUUUUUAUCAUGAAACUAGUUCAAUAGAUCAAAUUUAAAAACUCUCGAUUUGAUUUUUUAGUCUAAAUUUCAAAUUAAAUAUAUAAUGUUGUAGUUAUUUCAAUAUCACCUAAUCUCUUGUCGGGUGAAGAAUAACAAAUCAAAGAAUAGAAAAUAAUAAAUGACAAAAAAAUAUAAUUUGAUUUUUUAAAAAAUAAAGGUUGAUAUAAAAACAUGUUAGAUCGUAACCCUGGUGAAGCAAUAAAGAGAUUUACAUCCACUGCUUCCUGCAUGAUGUUUGGUUCUGUGGUAUAAAGAACAUGUGGUAUCCUAACUACUGCUUUGAAAAUCCAAAGUACAUAAUUCCUACAGCUAAACCCGAAAUUGGGCUUAUGCUGAAUUAUUAGGACUCGUUUACAUGCUAUACAUCUAGAUAUGACUGUUGAUAAUAACCUUACAUGCAGAGAUAUACCUAUGGUUUGUGUUAUAUAACAUUGAAAUUAUAAUUCCUUUGUCAAUCUUUGUAACAUGUAUCCAAUUGAGGCUUCUACGGGCUCAUAAUAGAACCUUGAAUUUUCUGUUUUGCAAAACUAGCUAGAGCCUUCCUUUGAUUCGUGACGCUUUCGGUGUAUCCUGCCAGAAGUGGAAGACUACCUUGUUCUCCCUUUUUACUUGCUUGUCCUCGAAUUAUCUGUCGGUGAUUCCUCGACAAAGAUGGUUAGUUGGUUACCUUUGAUGCUCAUGAUCGCUCUGCUUGUUGACACACAUUUGUAAUCUCUCUUCUAGACAUGCUGAAUACAGCAAGAGCAAACAUGAGUACCGAGGAAAAGGAAAGAACAAAUGAAGACGCAACUUAACAUAAUGAUCUCCUCGUAUGGCCAAAAUCAGUUCAAAUUAAAGAGACAGUACUGAGAGGACAACGGUGCUCAUGGUAAGAGAAGCCAAAAUCACCCAACUGAUUAACAAAUCAAGACGGUCAUUAAACAAUUUGAUCACUUCUCUGUUACUGUCUCAUGGUGGGUGCACAUGUUUACCCAAUUACAUGUGCUGAAUUGUUAAGUGGGGAGAAUUUUUUCAGUUGCCUUGAUGGAAGGCAAAAUUGGGACACUCUAGACACCCGAUCAUGUGAACAAUUAGAGGUGUAGAGUGGAAACUGAUUAAGACCAAUCUUGACGAAUCUAAGAACUGGUAGUCUCGCCAGAUGUUGAGAAAUCAUGUAUUAAACCAGUAUAUUCCAGAUCACUUGUAAAGGAAAGCCGCAACAAAGCUAGCAAAUGGUUGUAUAUACGGAAAGACAGUAUGAUGGAUAGAUAUGGCCUAAGAAGUUCUGGCUAGGAGAUUGGGUUUUAAGCGGGACCAGUGUGACCCCUCCAAUCUUUCCUGGGAACUUGCUUAGUGGAAGGAUUAUCCAUACGGUACUAUUUUCGUAUAUAUAGCAGUUUGUAAUGAAACGGUUGAAGACUAGCAGGAUGACGGCACAAGGGAACAGUUGGGUUUCGUAUGUUCAAGGAUCUGAUGGAGUGAUGAUUUCUCCAAAAAAGUUAGAUUCGGUGACUGUGAUUUCUCGAGGGUAGAAUUGAUGAAGACCCUGAUAAUGGAAGAGAAAUACAAGGGAAUAAAGAUUGACACCCUAUUUUGACUUGGACAGAUGUUGUGACAGGAUGAGCUGCUAUCAAACAUAAGCAAGGAAUAUGGAGAAAUCUGGAGAACAUAAAUUGCACGAGGGCACACGGAGAUUGUGCAGGAGUACCCGUGAUUCAACGAGGUACUGUAAUGAGACAACAGGUGCAAGGAGAAGAAGAGUUCCCAGAUGAAGCUCAGAGUAUAGACUAUGUAGAAGUUGGACAACAGGAAGUCUCUUGUGCUCUUGAUGAAGACAAAAGGCGAAGACCUUUCCAAUGCAUGCAAGGAUGGAAAGAGAGCUGUUGUAGAAGCACCUAAUUGAGGAGGUGCAAAUGCCUGCGAUAAAAGGCGACCGUCUACUAUGAAAGGCGAAGACACCAAAAAGAGUUGGUGUAGGUGGAGCUGUCAAGCAGAAAGGCACAGAAGCUCCAAACAUAGAAAUCGAGGUGGAGGAUUGCAAGGAGUAUACCGUAAGUUUCUUUUUCUAUAUAAUCAGUGGCAGUUAUCUCUUCCAUAGUCCACAUGGUGGUAGAGACUUUUGGAGCCACUUUGAAGCAUCUCAACUAAAGGAGGAUGCGACCACCUAUGAAAGGUGAAGACACCUUAGAUGGAAGGUGUGUGGGCCAUGAUAGGAGCCCAUAUCAGACCGCCCCACGACAACGGGCGAAGACACCUUAAAGAAGGUGUGUGGGCCGUGAUUGUGCCAUCACAACUAUUUUCGUAUAUAUAGCAGUUUGAAAUGAAAUGGUUGAAGACUAGCAAGACGACGACACAAGGGAACAAUUGGGUUCCGUAUGUUCAAGGAUCUGAUGGAGUGGUGAUUUCUCCAAAGAAAGAUUUGGUGACUGUUUUUUCUCGAUGGUAGAAAGCCCGGAUCAGACCGCCCCAUGACAACGGGCGAAGACACCUUAGAGAAGGUGUGUGGGUCGUGAUAGGAGCCCCGGAUCAGACCGCCCCAUGACAACAGGCGAAGACACCUUAGAGAAGGUGUGAGGGUCGUGAUAGGAGCCCCAUUUCAGAUCGCCGCAUGACGACGAGCGGAGACACCUGAGGAGAAGAUGUGUGGGCCAAGAUAUGAGCCCAGUUCAGAACGCCCCAGAGCCAAUGUGAUGGCUAGAUAUGAGUGGACAGGUGUAUAGCCAAUGAAGUGGCUAUGAUGAGUAUGAAGACAAAUGCAGGAUUGACUUUUAUGGAUAUUGCCCCCAUGCUAAAGAUCAAUGAGUUAAAAGACAUUUUCCUUGGACAAUAAGUGGGUGACUUGUGGAGCAUUAAGACGCGACUGCUAGGAAUGAGCAGUAGGCAUGCGCAGGUUCCGGGAACAAGUUGACUCUUGUCAAGGUGGUGAGCUCGGUGAAGGCAUUGUAAUACUCAAAGUAUCAAGACAUAUAUGGAUCAAACUUUAAUGGGCUAUCCCCAUAGGUAAAGGUGGAAAGCUACCUGGACUCUUGAGACUAAGAGCGAGAGACUCAUGGAGAAGUAAGGCGUGGUUCCUAGGGUGGAACAGAGGGUAGACGCAACUCCUAGAUGAGUAGACUCUUGGAAGAGUGUUGAGCUCGUGAUCAUAUUGAGAUACUCAGAUAAUGACUGUCGCACUUGGAAAUGGAAAUUUCUGUUUGAGGGGGUGUUGUAAGCCUUGGUGUAAGGCUUGAUGAUUCAUUCCGGACCGAGCAUGGUUGAUACGCUCGAAGGGGAAUGCAGUGUGUCCCAGAGACAAGCGUUAACACUCUUCAGAAGUGAAGUGGCAGACCAUCUAGUUGUUGUGAUCCUUUUGUGUGAGAAAAGGUGUGCUUUGGUAACUCUGGUGAUUGAAAGGUUUGGCGAGUACCUGUAAACUUGGCCACAGAUGCUCUCAGAAUGAUAAGCUUGGAAGAGUUGCAUGAUGCAAGCUUGUGCUGAAGAAGUAAGAGGACAAUUGCCCAUAUAAAUAUCAAAGGGGGUGAUUGUUGGGAUAUUGCCAUUAAUGGGCAAUAACAGUUGCAGCCUACCUUAAGAAAGAGGGAAGCCAUUGUCAAAAGGCUACAAUGGUUGUUGCACCAACCAUUGAUAAAAUGGUGCAACCCAUGUGCAGCCACCUUUGUUGAAGAAGAGCUGGAGCUGUGGCACCAUUCUUGCCUAUAAAUAGGCACCGAGAGAGAGAGCAAAGUUGAGAGCAGAAAGUGUGGUGAGUGAGUGCAAGAGAGUAGAGAGAAAGAGAGAGCUGCAAUGGCAGCAGCCUUGCUGCCAUUGCAGCUGCUGCAAGUGCAGCAAUGAGAGCUGGGAGUAGAGUUUGAGUGAAGUGAUCCUCCUCCUCCAUGUAUUUGUAUUGUAUCCUUUCUCUAUCUCUAAUAAUAUUGAUCCUCUCCCGUGGAUGUAGGCAAUUUGCCGAACCACGUUAAAUAUUGUCUCAGUGUGCUUAGCCUCCUAUGAGCAACUAUCAGUACACCACCGGUCCGCGCAUAGGGGAGCCGAAAUCCCCAACAGGUGGCAUGAUGCAGUCCCCUAAAAAAACUUUUUUAUGGGGUUAUACAUACACUUUUCAUAUUUCUAAUAAUUCACAUGACAUUAACAAAUGAUACGAGUCUUAAAUAAGAAUCUACAAUACACUAAAACAUCCUUAUUAACGAUCCUUAACUCCGACAGCAUCUAGGAUUCCUUGAAUAAUAAGAUAUCUCACACACACCUAGAAAUCCUUGACUCCUUCCCCUCAUUUUGUUAGGUGCUUAGCAUACUGGCAGCUAUUUCCAUGUGAUUCCUCCUAUCAGGUAGGCAAAAAGUAAUCAUUGCAUUAAACAAACUAAGAGUGCGUUUGGAAAUAUGGUUGAAAUUGUGUUUUCUUAAAAUUCAAUUUUGUUUUGCUAAAAAUUAUUUUUUUAUGUUUUCAGAUCGUUUUGAUGUGCUAAUCUCAAAAAUGAUUUUUUAAAAAAUAAAAAAAUAUUAUUUUAAUGUAUUUCUAAAUGAAAAACACUUUGAACUGCAACCGCUAUUACAAUCCCAAACAAGUCUAAGAACACAUAUAAAACGAGUUAGAAAACAAUCCAAUUGGCUCAGGCAAUGAUCAACAUGAUACAAAGAACUUUCAACUGAUAUACCUUAUUGCAGGAAGAUCAAGGUCUUGUUUUCUAUUUGUGUUUGCAAUGACUUCAGAAAGAGUUUGAAGAGUACCUGUCAUUCCAAAUAUCCUCACCCGCUGCGCACCGGAUAUGUGGCUUUAAGCUAUUCACAAGGUUAAUUUUCUGUCAUGUCAGAAUACGGUCGCUAUGAUUAUGUUUAUCUUGAAAUCAGAAACAAUAUCAGUGGCCGAUACUUGUUUUGUCCAGCCUUUGUCUUUCCUACAGAUUACGAUCAUGGGAUUGCUGAAUUCCAAUCGCUAAGCCACUGCAAAAUAGGGGUCGAUGAUCCUACAUUUGAUAAUGGUGAUGACGUGAGUAUUUCAGUGCUUCCACAUCAUCCAGCUAUCCACAUAAUCUUUCUUCCAUUUAUUGUGUAUGGGACUUUGCUUGCUAAAUUAUUAUGCCUAAACAAUAAGACAUCAUAUUCCAACUCCAUACCCAAAUACUCGCCUCAAGCAAAGAUUCCAAAACACACCACCACACCCGCCAGACCACCUUGCAAUGCAUGAUAAUAUGACUCAGAUUCGGCAGCUUCAGUCCACAACACCUGGAUAAACAAUUCACGUUAUAGCAUGCUUGGCGAGCAAUUAUGCGGCGAGUACUAAGUGAUCUGCCUACAAUAGGCCUAACAUCCUCCCCAAUCGAGAAGGAUUUUGCUGGAAACAAAACCAUAACCCCCAGGUGGUCUAAAUGUAGAGAAAAGUUAGUCAGGCUGAAUAAUCUCAACAGCUGUAUUUCUCAUUAUCACCCCUCUUCAAACGAAUCCUCAUCGUGACCCUGCUUUAUCAGAAUUAUCGCAGAGAACUUUUCAGUGAUAGGAAGUUGAAUAUGUAAUCGAUAACUUAUUAAGUUGUUUAUGUGGUGGAUGUUUUAUUGUAUAAUAUGAAAAUCAUGUGCUUGCGUUACAACUUCUCUCUUUUUUCUUUCUCUCUCUUCCUCUUCUGCUAUUUAUCUCGCCAACCAAACCUCCCACUCUUUCUUUCUAGAAAUAAAGUUUAGAAGUCAAUUUGUUAGAAAUUAGAAGAAUCAAUAAGUCUAGGGACUUAAUUGAAAUUUGGUUUAUGUUAAUUAAUGCAACUAGGGACUUAAUUGAAGAAAAAAAAAAGUUUGAGAAUCAAUUUGUGUCAAGAUUGCAAUAAUUAAAGGUUCAAAGACUAAAAUGAAUGGGUGUUGAAGUUUUGAGAGGCAAAUUAAUUUAAUCAAGGGUGAAAUCAAAAUAAUUAAAAGUAUAAAAAGGCAAUUGAGGAUGAAAUUAAAGAAUAUCAAGACCAAUGACCAUGCUGUAAAAGAUACUAAGUGCUCAAUCAAAGAAAUCAAGUGGCAUAAUUGAAAAGAUUAUUAAAGAUUGUGACCAAUUGAGGGUUUGUUUGUGAAAUAACAAGAAAUAGGAACCAAAAUUGACUUUCACUUAUUCAAAUUUUUUUUAGGUAAUUAGUUUAGAAUUAAACUUAUUUACAUGCAAUUGGCUAAUUAACAUACAAUUUGAAACAUAAUAAAGGCUGCCUAUUAAAUAUAUGUAUUAAUAGAAAACAAUUUAAAAAAAAUAAUCUUAAAACUAGGUAAAAUAUAAGUUGAGUGAACUCUUCACUCCAUGAUAGGGAAACAAAUUGAAUAAAAUCAAUUGGUUUGUAGCAAUUCAAUUUAAAUUAUUUUCUCUUGUAUAGAGGAGGUGUUGCUAAUUUUUUUUUUAAAUAGGAAUGGUUUAUGACAUUUUAAUUUUUUAAUUUGUGUAGAUGUCAAGAGGAAAGUCAAUCGCGUGUCAUAUGAACAUGAUCACUGCUAGUUCUUGUAGCAAUGCUUCUGACGACCAUGAAUUGUUAGGUGUCGAUCAAGAAUAAACACCUGAAAGAUAGAUAUUUACUUACGAUACGAGCUCGUUGAGUACCUUCUGAGUGAAAUUUUAAAUGGAAUUUUUAUUAUUUUUUUUUUAUUCUAUCAAAUUUUUUUGAUAUUACAUAUUUCAUCGCUAUCUAUGUCAGAAAUAAAUAGCAUAAAUUUUCUAUCUUAUUGGUGGAAUAUUUUUCGUAGGUAUUUUCAUAGCUAUUUGCUAGUUUUCUUCUAGUAGUGAAACGACUAAAAAAGAAAAGUUGCAUUAGUCCUAAAUGUUAGGAGUAAAUUGAAAGCAAUCCCCAUUUGUUUUUAGUAUGAUCAGAUUUCUUUGCUCAACUACUUGAAAGACAUUUGAUACAAUACGUUUUGGUCUAAACCGAAGACAAUAUUUUUUAUAAAAUUAAUUGACCUGUUGUUGAUUGGUCUACUAACGAUGUUUUAUGAAAAAAAAAAAAAACCAUUUAUAAAAGCAUGUGAGGAGAAACUGAUUGGAAUAUAGACGUAAUGGAAAACUAGGAGAAAUUAAUGGCAUGACUGGUCAUGCCUAGACAUUCCGACUUUCUGCUUCCGGCAUUAAUUAGCCAUGGAAAAUUCCUCACGCGGAAAUGGUCCAUACCAUAGAGAGAGAGGACUUGUAGGGAUGACUUGUCUUAAAAUUACAAUCCACCCUUUCUCUCUCAAUUUUAAAACCAUUCGCCCAUGUCUUGGGCCCAGUUGUAGACUUGGUCUGAGGAUCUAUCGGAGACGUUUCGUUUUAACAAGACAGCAGAGUUCCGCGUCUUUGAAUCAUUGGCAAUGGCAGCUAUGAAUUCGAUGGAAUUUGGAUAUAAAAAACUCGUGAAUUAUAUUUUUUAUAAAUAAAAUUUAAAUUUAAAUAAAAAAAUAUUAAUUUAACUAAACCUUGCUAACUCCCAAUAGGAUCAAUAUCAAAUAAUUAUUUUUAAAACAAAAGGUAAAAUAAUUUUAUUUUUAUAAAAUAACUGACUUAAGUUAAUUGGAUAACGCAGUUACCCGGAAUUUAUUUUAGAAGCAUAUUUAAGAGUAUGGUAGUAAUUACUUUUUUAAAUUGUUUUUCAUUCCAAAACAUAUUAAAAUAAUAUUUUUUUAAUUUUUAAAAAUUAUUUUUAAUAUUAGCACAUUAAAAUGAUUUGAAAACAUCAAAAAUAUAUUAAUUUAAAAAAAAAAUUUAAUUUUUUUUUAAAAUACUUUCAACCUGUAAUACCAAACAUAUCCUAAUUGUGUUUGUACGAGUGUCUCUAAUAUCCCUUUUGGUAAUUAUACUCUACGCGUGAUAAAUGAUUUGAAUUUUGAGACAAUUAGAAUAAAAAAAAAUGGUCCUAACGCGGAAAUGGCCCAGACCCCAGACUUGUAAGGUUUAUACAAGAAUUGUCUGGCAACGUAGUAUAACUUGUAUUUUUAAAAAUUUUAAAAUUUUUUAUUUUAAAUUUUUUAAAAAUAUUUUUAAAUUAUUUUAAUAAGCUUAUAUUAAAAAUAAUAUAUUUAAAAUAAAAAAAAUAUUAUUUUAAUUAUUUCUAAAAAAAUAUCCCUUUAAAAAAUAACAACACUUUCGAUCACAACCUAAAAGCAUAAAAUUGAUGAACUGAUAAGAGAACAUCAGCGAAGGGAAAGUGAAAAUUGAUGAACUGAUAAAAGCAUAAAGGUACUCUCUCUCUCUUAUCUCUUUUAGUAUUAUGUUAUAUUGUGGAAUGUAACUCUGCUGUAAGUGAGAAUCACUUAAAUUAAUUCACUGUUAGAAACUAAUCAUAGAUGAUCUCAUCAACCGAUUUUGUUGGUUCAGCAUAGAGAUUUAUCAGAUGUACAAAUAUUUUUCUGAAAGGGCAUGGAGGAUUUGAUUGCCGGGAAAUAACUUGAAAACUGUUUUACAGAAAAAAGUAAGAUAAUAAUAUAUGAAUACUUCAGCUUAUUGGUGUGCUAUCGAUCUUGAACUAUCGACUUGAAUCCCGCAACUCCUUUUUUUUUUUGUUCAGAUCUUUGAAAAGUCUUAUCUUCGCUAGACUCGAAAUGGCUGCUGGGAAAUAUCAAGAAUCCUACUCUUCACGGUUUUCUUAUUGUAAAUAUCAAGUGUUCUUGAGUUUUAGAGGUGAAGACACCCGCAAGAACUUUACCGAUCACCUCUACAAGGCCCUGGUUGAUGCAGGGAUUCACGCAUUUAGAGAUGAUGAUGAAAUUCGGAGAGGAAAGAAUAUAGAGCUGGAGCUCCAGAAGGCAAUACAGCAAUCAAAAAUAGCGAUAAUCGUGUUCUCCAAAAACUAUGCUUGGUCGAGAUGGUGCCUCGAUGAACUCGUAAUGAUCAUGGAACGUAGGAGGACUACCGGCUCCAUAGUUUUCCCAGUUUUCUAUGAUGUGGAUCCAUCCCAAGUCGGACGUCAAACAGGGAGCUUCGCUGCAGCAUUUGUGGAACAUGAAAAGAGCUUCAACGAGGAGAUGGAGCGGGUGAAUGGGUGGAGAAUUGCUUUGAAGGAAGUGGCUGAUUUAGCUGGAAUGGUUUUAGGAGACAGGUAAGUUGUAUCUCUUUAUGAAACUAUACAUAGCAUAAGACUAGAAUGCUGGUCGUGAACUCUAAAUUUCUUUCAGUUAAGUAUACCGAUAAGAAAACAUAUAAAAAAAAUAAAAUAAAAUACUUAUGAUUUCUUCGUUGUUUUUUUUUUUUUCCAAUCUUGAUUUGGUUUUAAUAGCGGUGAUAACGCACCUACAAAAUUAACUAUCAAUCAAUCAUUGACACGCAACCUGCUUUAAUUUCUUAUCUAAAUGUUGUUUAUUUCAAUCCUUUAUAGAGAGGCUACUAAUUAUCCUACGUUGUAUUUUACCUUUUGAUGUAGGUACGAGGCACAGUUUGUCCAAUCUAUUGUGGAGAAUGUCUCAAAGAAUUUGGAUCCAAAAAUAUUUAAUGUUCCCCUUCAUUUCAUUGGAAGAGAUCCUCUGGUACAAUAUAUCAACUCAUGGUUGCAAGAUGGAUCCCAUGGUGCUGCCAUUGCUUUACUCUAUGGAAUUGGUGGAGUUGGAAAGACAGCCAUAGCUAAGAGUGUUUUUAACCAGAACUUUUAUAAAUUUGAAGGAAAGAGCUUUCUAUCAAAUUUUAGGUCAAAGGAUAUAGUUUGCCAAUAGACCCAACUUCUUUUUGACAUCCUAAACAAGACUGUUGAGAUAAAUGAUGAAGAUGAAGGAAUUCUGAAAAUUAAGGAUGCAAUAUGUUGCAGAAGAACUCUUAUUGUUCUAGAUGAUGUGGACAAAAGGGACCAAUUCAAUAAAAUCAUUGGCAUGCAAAAUUGGCUUUGUAAAGGAAGUAAAAUCAUUGUAACAACCAGAAAUAAGGGUCUGUUUUCAACUAAUGAUAUUGAAGGGGUCCGGUGCAAAGUUGAACCGCUAGAUGAUGAAAAAUCACUUGAGCUUUUCAGUUGGAAUGCCUUUGGACAAGCUGACCCUGUUGAUGGUUUUGUAGAAGACUCUUGGAGAAUAGUACAUCAUUGUAAUGGACUUCCAUUAGCUCUUCGAGUUAUUGGCUCUUCAUUGUCCGGAAAAGGAAGAGAGAUAUGGGAAAGCGCAUUCCAACAAAUGGAAGUGAUUCCUAAUUUUGAAGUUCAAAAGGUUCUUCGAAUAAGUUACGACUUUCUUGAUGGUGAUUAUCCGAAGAUCUUAUUCCUUGAUAUCACAUGUUUCUUCAAUGGAAUGGAUGUGGAUGAUGCAGUUAGGAUACUGGAUGGGCUCGAUAAAGGUGCAAGAUUUGGGAUUGACAAUCUCAUCGAUAGAUGUCUUGUUGAAAUCAACAAUGAUCAAAGGUUGUGGAUGCAUCAACUAGUAAUAGAUAUGGGAAGGGAAAUUGCUCGUCAAGAAUCACCCAAAUGUCAAAGAAUAUGGCAUCAAGGGGAUGCUUUUACAGUUUUGAAAGGAACUACUGUAAGUAGCUGAAUUUUUUUAAAUGUCUACUUAAAUGGUUUGUGGUGCCUUGACAUAUUCAUUCAUCUACUUUCCUUUCUCAUGUACUUUUAAUAUUGUUAUGCAGGAUGCUGAAAAAUUGCGUGGCCUUACCAUUGAUAUGCAUGCAUUAAUGGAAUAUCAUUAUGCAGAAGUUGUCUGUACUGAUUCAAUGGUUUGUCGCAAGCGCCGCAGGCUUAACUUCUUUCAACAAUGGCUUUCCGAUUUUUUCGAUGGGGGAAAAUUACAAACUGGCCAAACAAGUUUGUUUCCCAUCCUCAACACGGAUGCUUUUAGAAAGAUGCCAGAUGUAAAAUUUCUCCAACUAAACUACACUAAUUUUCAUGGAAGUUUUGAGCACUUUCCCAAGAAUUUGAUAUGGUUAUGUUGGCAUGGAUUGUCUUGGAGCUCCAUACCAAAUCACGUAUGCUUGGAGAAGCUGGUGGUUCUUGAUCUAUCCAGAAGUUGUCUAGUUGAUGCUUGGAAGGGCAAACCGGUAUGUAUCAAGUCUCUAUAGCUAUCUCUCUCGUUUUCAAUUGAUAACAACUAAAUUCAUGUAUUUUCACAGUUUCUUUCAAAAUUGAAAAUUCUUGAUCUUCGUCACUCUCGUAAUCUAAUUAGAACCCCAGACUUCUCGGGUCUCCCAGCCCUUGAAAAGCUAAUACUUGAAGACUGCAUCAGUUUGGUUCAAAUUCACGAAUCUAUUGGUGAUUUACAAAGAUUGUUGAUCUUAAAUCUAAGAAAUUGUACAAGUCUUAUGGAGCUUCCAGAAGAAAUGAGUAGAUUGAAUUCACUUCAAGAGCUGGUUUUAGAUGGUUGCUCAAAUCUUAACAGCCUGAAUAUGGAGUUAGAGCAUCAUCAAGGGCGCAAGUUGCUUCAAAGUGAUGGAAUUGUUGCAAGUACAUCAUUCAUUUCUGUUAGUUAGUGGAGACAAACAAUGUCCCACCAUAUGCAAGUGGGAAUACCUAAUCUCCCACUUGGCACAUGGUGGAGGACACAAACGGUGGGCAUAAAUCAAGGCAUGAUUUAUGCCCCUUUACUCCCAUCUUGUAUACAUAUAAGCUCAGUGAAGAGCUGCGUGUGUGAGUGUAAAAACAUAGAGAGAACAGAAGAGAAGUGAGAACAGCAGAGAGAGCUUGUGUGAGUGGAGUUGAGUCGAGAAGAGUUUUCUCCUCCUCCUUUGUUUGUAUUGUUUCUUUGAGUGAUUAAUACAAGACAGUAGCUCCGUGGAGUAGGCAAGUUGCCGAACCACGUAAAUUUGUGUGUGUUUGAGUUCUGGAAUUUCCCAACAACUGGUAUCAGAGCUUGUUCUUGACAAAGAGGGUGUUUGAUCCAAACUCAAAAAUCAAAGUUCUCCAAACGUGUUUUUGAACAUACCAUCGUGUAGAGGACAACCGGACGAAUCCACUGUUGAAAACCCGGCGAAGAACCGACGUCCUGCAUGCCCGCACGCGCCCACACGCGCCGACGUCCAGACUGCCCACGCGCACCAACGCGCCGUACGCCCGCCACGCUCCAUCUUCGCCCGGAUUCUGCAAAACGGGUCGGGCUGACCCGCCACGUCAUCACAUCCGUACGGUCAACGUCCGCGUCACCUGCCACGUCACCUGCCACGUCAUCUCUGAGUUUUGUUCCGAUGUGUCGCAGAAGCUGAUAUUCUGACACGUGGCUACAUCAUAACCGUUGAGGGGUUUUGAUCCAGUACGACGCAGGAUCUAAUCAGUUGACACGUGGUUAAAUCAGGACCACUAUUGAGUAUUGAUCCAGUGUGACUCAGGCCAUCAUCUGCUGACACGUGGCUUCAUCAUAACCGUUACUGAGUUUUGAUACGGUGUGACGCAGGACCUAAUCUGCUGACACGUGGCUUCAUCAGAACCGCUACUGAGGUUUUGAUCCGGUGCGACGCAGGCGGUACUCUGGUUGACACGCGGCUGCAUCUGCACCGUCCGUUAAUCCAAAACUUUGAUUGCUAAAAGCUGAGCCAUCCGAAGUCCGAUUGGGGUGAUCUCAGUGUCAUUUCCAAGGUUUUCGGCUGUUCCGGACACAUCUGUAAGGUCAGAUUUGGGAAAUUCGAAUAGAAGAAGUAGUAAAAAUGGCAGAUGAAAUAAAAGCAGCUGGAAUUGAAAAAUUUGACGGGACAGAUUUUGGAUACUGGAAAAUGCAAAUUGAGGAUUAUCUAUAUGGGAAGAAACUUCAUCUUCCCUUGUUGGGGAGCAAACCAGAAAAUAUGCAAGAAGAAGAUUGGCUACUUCUUGAUAGACAAGUUCUGGGCAUUGUCCGGUUAUCCUUAUCAAGAAGAGUUGCUCACAAUGUUACGAAAGAAAGAUCCACUGCAAGAUUGAUGGAAGCCUUGUCUGGGAUGUAUGAGAAGCCAUCAGCAAAUAAUAAAGUGCACCUGAUGAAAAAGUUGUUCAACUUGAAGAUGGUCGAAAACACUUCUGUGACACAACACCUCAAUAACUUUAAUACCAUCACAAAUCAAUUAUCAUCUGUUGAGAUUGAGUUUGAUGAUGAGAUUCGUGCACUCAUUUUGCUAGCUUCACUUCCAAGCAGUUGGGAAGGCAUGAGGACAGCCGUGAGCAAUUCAGCUGGAAAAUCCAAACUGAAGUAUGAUGACAUUCGAGACUUGAUUUUGGCUGAAGAAGUGCGAAGGAAAGACUCGGGUGAAAGUUCAAGCUCAGGAUCAGCUCUCAACAUCAACACUCGAGGGAGGAGACAUGAUAGAGGCUUAUCCAGAGGCAGAUCAAAAUCAAGAUAUAGAAGUAAAAGCAAGUUUGGACCCAGAAAGCAGGUUGAAUGUUGGAAUUGUGGCAAACCUGGUCAUUUCAUGAGGAAUUGCACAAAACCGAAAAAACCUGAAGCUGACUCUGCAAACGCUACCACAAAUGAGGUGCAAGAUGCUUUGAUUCUUACUGUGCAUAGUCCUGUUGAUGAUUGGGUUCUUGAUUCUGGUGCUUCAUUUCACUGUACACCACACCAUGAAAUGAUGCAAAACUAUAUUGCUGGAGAUCACGGUGUAGUCUAUCUGGCCGAUGGACAACCAUUGGAUAUUGUGGGUUUAGGAGAUGUACAAAUCAAGACAAUGAAUGGAUCUAUAUGGAACUUGCAAAAUGUAAGGCAUGUUCCUGAUCUAAAGAAGAAGCUGAUCUCGGUCGGACAACUUGAUGAUAGUGGUCAUUCAAUCCUUUUUUCUGGAGGUAUGUGGAAGGUAUCAAAGGGAGCAAUGGUUUUGGCUCGUGGAAAGAAAACCGGCACCCUGUAUAUGACCACAAGAUUUGCAGACAUUAUUGCCUCUACUGAAGCAGAAAAUCAAGCACAUCUAUGGCACUGUAGACUCGGCCAUAUGAGUCAAAAGGGGAUGAAGAUACUUCAGUCGAAGGGAAAGCUGGCAGAAUUAAAAAAUGUCGAUCUAGACAUUUGUGAAAGCUGUGUUCUUGGAAAACAGAAAAAGCUCAGUUUCUUGAAGGUUGGCAGGACCUUAAGACCAAGAAAGCUAGAGCUGGUACACACAGAUUUAUGGGGACCGUCUCCAGUAGCAUCUCUUGGAGGUUCUCGGUAUUACGUGACUUUCAUUGAUGAUUUCAGCAGGAAGGUAUGGGUUUACUUUCUGAAAAAUAAAUCUGAUGUGUUUGAAACAUUCAAGAAGUGGAAGGCUAUGGUUGAGACUGAAUCAGGUCUGAAGUUGAAAUGCUUGAGAUCCGAUAACGGAGGAGAAUACAUUGAUGGAGGUUUCAAAGAGUAUUGUGCUGUUAAUGGUAUCAGAAUGGAAAAGACCGUUCCAGGCACACCGCAACAGAAUGGCAUUGCUGAACGAAUGAACCGGACCAUCAAUGAACGAGCUAGAAGCAUGAGGUUGCAUUCAGGGCUACCUCAAACAUUCUGGGCUGAUGCAGUUCAUACUGCAGUUUACUUGAUCAACCGUGGACCAUCAGUUCCUUUGGAGUUCAGAUUGCCCGAGGAAGUAUGGAGAGGAAAAGAGGUACAACUCUCUCAUUUAAAGGUCUUUGGGUGUGUUUCCUAUGUGCAUAUAGAUUCUGAUGCUCGCAACAAGCUAGAAGCCAAAUCCAAGAAAUGUUUCUUCAUUGGUUAUGGAGAUGAAGAAUUUGGAUUUCGGUUCUGGGAUGAUCAGAACAGAAAGAUUAUCAGAAGCAGGAACGUGAUCUUCAAUGAGAAAGUUUUGUACAAAGACAGAUCAAGUGCAGAAACAGAUAUGACUGAUUCAGAUACAAGUCCACAAAGAUCUGAAUUCAUAAGAUUAGAAGGCCUUCCCGAUGUUACUGAGCAGAACAACAAUCAAGAGCCUUUACAAGAAGACUCAAGCAUAUCUGUACCCGCUACUACACAAGAAGAAGCGGAGCAAAUUGAACCAGCUGUUCGCAGGUCUUCGAGGACGAUAAAGCCCCCGCAACGGUUCACACUUUUACUGAAUUACAUUUUGUUGACAGAUGGUGGUGAACCGCUAACUUAUGAAGAAUCCUUACAAGAUGGAAACUCAAGCAAGUGGGAGUUAGCCAUGAAGGAUGAGAUGAGUUCGUUGCUGAAGAACAAGACUUGGGAGCUAACCACACUGCCUGAAGGAAAGAAGGCUUUACAAAACAAGUGGGUUUACAGAGUGAAGACUGAGCAUGACGGAAGUAAACGGUUCAAGGCAAGACUUGUUGUCAAAGGGUUUCAACAAAAGAAAGGCAUUGACUACUCUGAGAUAUUUUCUCCAGUUGUGAAGCUCACAGCAAUCAGAGUUGUUCUGGGGAUAGUAGCUGCAGAAAAUUUACAUCUUGAACAGUUAGAUGUAAAAACAGCAUUCCUUCAUGGUGACUUGGAGGAAGAUAUUUAUAUGCAACAGCCAGAGGGGUUUGCAAUGCAAGGAAAGGAGAAUCAAGUCUGCAAGCUACAGAAAAGCCUAUACGGUUUGAAGCAAGCUCCAAAACAUUUUGACAACUCCUACAUCAUUCUACUAUUAUAUGUAGAUGAUAUGUUGAUUGCAGGAUCCAGCAUUGAGGAGAUUGAUAAGCUGAAACAGCAGUUGUCAAAACAGUUUGAAAUGAAGGAUCUGGGAGCUGCUAAACAAAUACUUGGCAUGAGAAUCUUCAGAGAUAAAGACAAAGGCGUACUAAAGCUUUCACAAACAGAGUAUGUCAAGAAGGUUCUCAGCAGGUUUAGUAUGGAUAAUACUAAACCAGUAAGUACACCACUGGGGAAUCAUUUCAAGCUCAGCAAAGAUCAGUCACCAAAAACUGAGCUAGAAAGUGGAUACAUGGAUAAGAUUCCAUACGCCUCAGCUAUCGGCUCUUUGAUGUAUGCUAUGGUCUGUACCAGACCAGACAUUGCCCAUGCAGUGGGAGUUGUAAGCCGAUAUAUGAGCAAUCCUGGAAAGCAGCAUUGGGAGGCGGUCAAAUGGAUCAUGAGGUACUUAAAAGGUUCAUCGGAAACUUGUCUUAGUUUCACAGCUGGUGGUUUGAAACUUGAAGGUUUUGUAGAUGCUGAUCUAGCAGGAGAUAUUGAUAGCAGAAAGAGCACUACAGGAUAUGUUUAUACUCUAGGAGGUACUGCUGUUUCCUGGAGUUCUACCUUGCAAAAGAUCGUUGCUCUUUCAACAACAGAAGCUGAAUAUGUUGCAGUCUCAGAAUCUGCAAAAGAGAUAGUAUGGUUGCAGAGUUUCCUGAAGGAAUUGGGCAAGUUGAAUGGAAAAGGUACUUUGUAUAGCGACAGUCAGAGUGCAAUCUUCCUUGCCAAGAAUCCAGCUUUUCACUCCAGGACGAAGCAUAUUCAGAUCAAAUAUCACUUCAUCCGACAAUUGCUAGACGAUAAACAACUGAUGCUAGAAAAGGUCUGUGGAAGCAAGAAUCCAGCUGACAUGUUAACCAAAGGAGUUACACUUGAUAAACUGAAGUUGUGUAAAACUUCAGUUGGUCUUCAAGGAUAAAUGAUGAUUUCAUUGUUUGUCUCCAAGUGGGAGAUUGUUAGUUAGUGGAGACAAACAAUGUCCCACCAUAUGCAAGUGGGAAUACCUAAUCUCCCACUUGGCACAUGGUGGAGGACACAAACGGUGGGCAUAAAUCAAGGCAUGAUUUAUGCCCCUUUACUCCCAUCUUGUAUACAUAUAAGCUCAGUGAAGAGCUGCGUGUGUGAGUGUAAAAACAUAAAGAGAACAGAAGAGAAGUGAGAACAGCAGAGAGAGCUUGUGUGAGUGGAGUUGAGUCGAGAAGAGUUUUCUCCUCCUCAUUUGUUUGUAUUGUUUCUUUGAGUGAUUAAUACAAGACAGUAGCUCCGUGGAGUAGGCAAGUUGCCGAACCACGUAAAUUUGUGUGUGUUUGAGUUCUGGAAUUUCCCAACAAUUUCAUCUCUUCCAUUGAAGCUAUUCUUUCCCUCUAGGUUUUCAACGAGGAAAAUGUUGAGAACUACCUCGUUUUCACUGCCACGCUUCUUGGAGAGUCUAGAUUUAAGUGGAACUCCAAUUUGUUUUCUUCCAGAAAGCAUCAAGGAUCUUGGUCUACUCAGACACCUAUACUUAAAAAAUUGCAAAAUGCUUCAGGCACUCCCAGAGCUUCCAUCCCAUUUAGAUUCGUUAGAUGUGUCCUUUUGCUAUUCACUGCAAAGACUUGCAAAUCCAAACAGUUGGACUGAAGGAGAUGGUUGUGAUCACUUAGUCGAGUUCCAAGAUCGGAUGAAGCAAGAAUUAAUCCAGAAGUUUGACUCUCACGUGUUCAGAAUAAUGGAAACGAUUAGUGCUCAAAUACAGCCAUCGAGAUUUCAGGUCCUCCCUCACCCAUUUUAUUGAUUUGGAAAUCUACAUUUGAAUACUUUUAUUUUGCUCAUUUUAUAGACAUUGUUUUGGCGGUACAGAUAACAUUUUUAUAUGGCAUAUUCAACGUUGUCGCAUAUGCAUUUGAAGAUGAGGAGUUAAGGGGGUUUUAUGAGGAGGAAGAAGAGGAUAAAUGGCUAAUUAAGAAUGAGUUUGUAGAUAACUUUUCAUUCAAAAUAUCCUCACCUGGGACGCACCAGAUAUGUGGCUUUAAUCUGUUCGUAAGUUGUGUGACGUCAGCAUCGUCAGCAUACCGUGGCUUUAUUAAUGUUUAUAUUGAAAUCAGAAACAAUACCAGUGGUCGAUCCUUGCUUUGUCCAGUCUUUGUCUUCCAUAUGAGGUACGCGUGUGGUGUUCGUGAAAUGCAAUCGCUAUUGCACAGGAAAUUAGGGGGCAAUGAUCCUACAUUUGAUAAUGGUGAUGACGUGAGUAUUUCA